This 73041-nucleotide long non-coding RNA is filed under the name Setaria viridis. RNAcentral describes it as "long non-coding RNA (SVIR_LNC001370)". The record is from RNAcentral. Lineage: Eukaryota; Viridiplantae; Streptophyta; Magnoliopsida; Poales; Poaceae.
GGGAGAUGAUGACCGUUGCUGACCAUGUCAAGUCACUGAUGAAUACAAUCUGAGAAGUGAAGCGCAUAGAAAUACAAGUGGAUGUUGCAAUAUAUAGAGCACAUGCAUGAUGUCAAUUGUAUACUUCCUUGGUGAGUCGAGGUGCCCUCCACUGAUCGAUGUGUCCUAAGAGUAUGAGGAGUAGCUGCUUUAUCUGGCUUGGAGCUCCAAAUAAGUGCACAAGUGGAAGUUCUAAUAUAGCAGAAAACAUAUAAGCAAUUGCAGACCAAAUAAUGUAGUUAGUUUAUAAGUGGGGUAUUGGGGAGAAACAAAUAUAUACAGUGUCCACCAUAUACUGCCUUGGUGAAUUGUGGUGCGCACCUAUGGUGUGCCUUAAGAGCGUGUGCACUAGCUGCUCGAUUUAAAUUGAAUCUCCAAAUAAGUGCGACGCAGACUGUGAACGGCUCGGUGGUGGCAGGCACAGGGCUAUACUGGGCACGAUAUUAAAGGAUUUUUUUAGUUCUUUAUUUUAAUUUCUUGUAGCUAGAGACUAACAAAUUAGGUACGAAGCCUACCUAUAUACGCACGUUUCCAUAGUUCGAUCUCUGUGUACACAAAAAUUUGAGAGAUCCAGGCAAAAAAGAAAAAGAUUCUUUCUACACAAUCAAGCUAUAGGAAUAACCAAUGAUACAAAGUAAAGUUGAGGAAAUUUGGGUUUAUAUUAAGAUUUACCUAUUACUGAUAACGUGUAAAUUUGAAGAACACGGAUUCCUGUAUUUGUAUCCUUGCCUAUACAUACCAGUCCUUGUAUGCAACACCGAUCCUGGUUUAUGGACAGCCGUACAACUACUAGCCUCCUGUCAUUAGAAAAAGAAUCUAAAGUAACUUUCUAAUCUUCAUCUAAAUUAUAUUCACCUGUGUUAUCAUGAAAAUAAAUCUAGAUAACCAUAUUAAUUUGUACCUUAACUACUCCUAUCCACCACUAUAAUGUUGAAUUUGAAUUAUGCACAUCCUCUCUUAUUAAAAAUAACCUAAAGUAAGUCAACAUCUAUGUUAAAAUAAUCUAAAGUAACUCAACACCUAAAGUAACCACCUUAUGUUAAAUUACCAAAUUUUGUCAUUGUUGACAUUGAAAAGACAACUCAAGGUAUACAUUCAUGAUGUGCGCCACAAUUCACUCCCUGUAUACAUAUAUGCAUGAAGUGAUACUCAUAUCUAUUUUCAAAUGAAACAAAUGGCUCAAACUAAGGCUUCAGCUAAACACGCAUCAGUACACAUGGAAGUGCAUUGCAAGGGGCCGCGGCAAAUAUGAAUAUAGAUGAAAAGGUAUCUAUCACAACCGAGUAAGAAAAGUAUCUAUACAAGUAUUGUGCUAGAAUAUAAAUAAAAUGGAGAGAUAAAAAUAAAUAAUUUUAUUAACUGGAUCAGCGAGAAGAUGAGACCCAGAUGGAGGCGACUUGCAUGUUAAUCGAGGUUGUUUUCCGGUAAUUUCUAGCCAAAAUCACUGUAAAAAAAACGGUUUAUAGGGGCGGUUGAAAUAACAUUUUCAGGAGCGGGCUACCCGCUCCUAACUUUCGCUGCUAUAAAUAGCUGUUUGCAAGAGCGGGUAACAUGCCUGCCCCUGUAAAGCCCUUUCUAGGGAGGGUGACGCCAUCACCCGCCCCUGGAAAUAUCGUUCCCGCCAAAAUUUUGUACCAUUUUCGUGCCAAAUUUUUAAAAUGUGGCUCUCAAUCAACCCAUUCAAAUCCAACACUCAAAGAACACUGGAUAUGCAAUAAAGUUAUAUAACCAAUUCCUACAUCAAUAAGGAAAGAGUAGGGGUACAUCCAUGCCACAAUAUAAUAUAACCAACUGUUUCAACAAUAGUGCAAGUUGGUACAUCAAUACUUAAGAUCUUAGAGAGAAUAAUUUUAAAUCCAUAAGAAAAGAGUAGGGGUACAUCCAUGUUACUUAUCUUAUUCUAAUGCGGCUCGCUUCCUUGGAUAUGGAGCAUAGUUAAGGUCUCCAAUUGUCCAGUUAGAACUUCAUCAAAAUAAGUUAGAGCAUGGAUGAGUGCACUCUCUUUUGCUUCAGGUCACAUACACUACUAUAAAUCUCGAACAAUGGAGAGGUUAACUAAUAUGGCCUAUAGUAAGUGAGAUGAGCAUGGAACUUCCAAUCUCUGAUGAAUAUCGGGUUUCCACCCAUGUAAGUCAAAUCAAACACAUCCAAGACUUGAUCCAGAAUCGCAUGAAAAUUCGUUGCCGCAUUGGUAGUACCAAAGAGAUCCUAAAAGAUGAUAAUAAUAUGAUGAAAGUUAAAAGAUGUAACAUAACUAAAGUUAAGAAUGAUAAAAGGAUGUUCAAUACCAUGUCAUGUUCAUUGAGCUGACAAAGCCUCUCAGUAGUCACAAUCACAUUGCUUUCUCCCUCCUCGAGCUGCUUUAUUCAAAAAUAUGACAAGUCUGGCACAAAGUACCCAUGAUCCUUAAGCUGUCUAGGCAGGCCUCCACGGCAGUCCUAUCAAAAGUUACCCUAUUUGGUGCUAUUUGACCCCAUGCGACAAUUGAAACCAUCGGGAUGGCCUCUCCUGGUGUCAUCGAGGUGAAAUAUGUUUCUCGAACAGGUACUUGAAAAGAGAUAUGUACUCUUUUAAAAUGAGGUUCAUUAACAACCUUGGUUUGCAUUGAAGGACAAGUACCACCUAUAGCUUUAACAACAUCUUUGAGCCAUCUAAUAGGGUUUAUAAGCUACAUAAAUUUAGAAUUUAUUCAUGUGUAGUAAAAAAAUUAAUUCAAAGAAGGAAACAAUAUUACUAUGUUGGGAAUUGAUCCGUUCAUUCGAUCGCCUGUUGGAAAGUCAAUAGCGCCAUUAGGGAAGUGAAGUCCUGGACAACGAGCGGGAGGGUCCUCGAAAAAUCCCGGAGGGAAGCACAUCUCCAACUGCACCAUAGUCUCCCCAAUAAAUUCUUGGAGAUGUUUCAAUUCAUCUUCAUUAAUAACCUUUUGAGAAAUUUUGUUGAAGAAGUAACACAACUAAGUGAUAGCCAUCUUCACAUAUACAAACUUGAUCGCUCUAAUUGCAAUUGGAAGGAACAACUUCAGCAUCACAUGACAGCUGUAGCCGGAUAGCGAGAGAUCUUUCAUCGAGACUAGUUUCCUGAUGUUGGAUGAGAAUUGACUUGGUAUUCUAAUCCCCCGUAACGAUUGGCACACUGCCUUCUUCUCAUCUAGUGUCAAGUUGUAGCUAGUCGGGGGUAAUUCAUAUCUUCCAUUCCUCUUAUCGAUAGGGUGAAGGUCUUUUCUUAUCUUCAUGGCUACCAAGUCUUGUCGUGACUUCAGGGUAUCCUUUGUCAUGUCUCCAAGAAGAGACCAAUUGUAUUACCAAACACAUUCUUCUUCAGGUGCAUACCAUUGAUGGCAUGGCGGACCUCAAGGUCCGGCCAAUAUGGCAAGUACUUGUAGAAGAUCGAUAAUUUCUUGAAUGGCACGCCAUCGAUGGGUGGCUUAUCUCUAUUUCUCUUCUUCCCAUCUUUUGUCAUCUUCCCAUAAGGAACCUAGAUGGUCCUGACCAUGUUGAAAACAUAGUGCCCAUCUCAAUUUUCUAGAGCAGAUUCUAGGUCAAGCUAGCCACCAAAAAAAUUAUAGAACUUCUUUCUUUGGUACAUGUGUCCUUCCACCAAGAAGUGUAUGUACCCAAGGUAAACUACCUUUCUAGAACCUUUUAGGAAAGACCAUAUGGUGUCAUCAAUGCACACCGUGCAUCCUUGUCUUACCUUUCACCUGUCCUGACAAGACAAACAACGCUUGGUAAGAAUUGAUGGUGAUGAAGAUAAUGGCUCUUAGAUUAAAUUCCCUCCAUGUAAAACCGUCAAUGAUGUUGAUACCAGUCUUCCAUUAAGUUUCCAUCUCUUGCAUCAAAGGCUUAAGAAAAACAUCUAUAUCGAUGCUAGGAUACUUUGGUCCUUGUAUAAGGAUGGAUAGCAAAAUAUACUUUCACUUUUGGCACAACCAUGUUGGCAGGUUGUACAUCAUCAAGAUCACUAGCCAUGUGUUGUGAGUGUUGGUCCUUUCACCGAACGGAUUCAUUCCAUCCGUACUUGCUGCCGUCACCCACCCAUUUGCAGGGGUAGGUGAUGCCAUCACCCGUCCCUGCAAAUGGUUCUCUAGGGGUGGGCCGCAUGCUACAGUACCGCCCCCAUUUUGUAGGUGCGGGUGGCAAUUUUGCCCGCGCUUAGAAAAAAUGGAGCACCCCUACAAAUUGUUUUUUCAGCAGUGAAGGUAAGUCGGUGACACAUAUGUUCUCGGUGUAGGUCAGUAUGUUUGUGUCAGUUUUGGGUGAGUUGUAACUUUCCUUAAUGUACUGACUGGCACAGGGGACUCAAUAUUGGAUGGCCAUGUGACAACGAGAGCCCUGCCCGGUGCACACGCGAGGCCAGCUGGGUGAUUGCACGAAAAGGGUGCAAACAUGGGCUGAGAGCAAUUAAAAUCUUUUUGGGUCCCGGUGCUUGUGCAUCUAACACUACUAGAAAAAUGAGCAUUCAUCCCGAGACUCAGUACCACUUGCAUUUUGGCCCGGUACUAAUGUGAGCAUUAGUACUGGCCCUAACAGAUAGUCCCCGAGGAGCCCCCUAUGACCCCCUUUAGUACCAGGUAGAGCCCCUUAGGCACAUUAGUACUAAAGGGUUUCCUCCGCUCCGUCCGCGCGCAAGUACUUUGCACUGGCUCCCUCCCUUCCCUCGAGGCGCUAGCUGGCCUUAAUAAUUAAUCCUCCGCUACUCCCUCCGCCUCCCUCACCCUUAUCCAUCCGCUCACCUUGCUCCUCCACCUCCCUCACCCUCUCCCUUAGCUCCUUCCCUCCAGGAGCCCCUCCUUCCCCCUGGCCUCCCCUCUCCUCCCCCCUUCGCUCGCCCCCUCACCUCAUGCCUGAGGCGAGGAGCAACGACGAUUGCGGGCGGCGGGAGCGGCGGCAGGGCGGAGGGCGGAGGUGGAGCGGGCGGAGGGGUGGUGGGGCGGAGGGCAGCGGGGGCAGGGGCGAAGGGGCGGCGGGGCCGGGGGGGCGGAGGCGGAGGGUGGCGGGGGGGAUUCUUUUUUUUUAAUUUUUUAAUACUCCUUUACCUUUAGUACUGAAUUACCAGUACCGCUUGCGAAACUGGUAUUAAAGGGGUUCCCAACCGGUAGUAAAUGUGUUUUUCCUAGUAGUGUGAUGAGGAACUUCACAACAAUACUAUGUGUUUGGUAAUAUAUGCAUGAACAGAACAGCACAACGGCGCAACAGUCAAAUGGCAUGAAUGGCACACUAAUCUGAUGACACAUGAUGUUAGCUAAUGUGAGGAUCUGCUAACUGAGAAGUGUAGCGCAUAUAAAUAAAGGGGAGAUUCUGACUUCUGAGCAUUUCACAACCUUUGCCUCAGCAGAAACUUAAGAUAAGCAAAGUCAAAACCAAAGUUUUCUUCUUCUUGUUUUUUUUAAAAAGCAAAGUUUGCCUAAAUGAGAUGUUGGGGAAAAAUAAAUAGAGCGUACAUCAUAUGCUGUAUUGAUGAAUUGGGGUUAGGGCACCCUCCAUUAAUAUGUUCCCUCUUCGACCUUGACAGUCACCACAGUAUCACCAUUGCCAAGCUCUUCAGCCUUGACAGUCACCAUAGUACCACCAUCGCCGACCGGCAAGCUCAACCUGUGCUGAACCAAUCCACGUCGCUUCUCAACAGUUGCCGAUCAGCGCCGGAAUGAAGAAGAUCGAGGAGCAGGAUAGCAGUAACCGUUAGAAGAAUAGGAGAGAAUAACUUUUAAACCUAUGGGUCUGAUUGGUUUCAGGAUCCUAUGGGUCUGGCUCGUAUCAGGCAUGCAGGAUCCCGACAGCUAGGCUCUCCCCAUAAUUGGUAUCUGAUUGGUUGAAGUCUCUAUCGAGCCAGGCUAGCUAAAUAACUUGAUUGGUUGCUUGGUUAACCAGUGCUUAGCUGCUUUUCUUAUGUCUAUGCGCACCUCUCGAGGACUCACCGCUGCACCGCGCGAGCCUGGCUCCGAGGAAACAAGGACUUUUAUUGCAUCUCAGGAGCCAGGCUCAAGGAGUCCUUUUGCAUCCCGCGGGACAGGCUCAGUAGCUAGCGCAGGCAACCAAUCAACCCAAAGCUACAUCCCGAGAGCUUGGUUCGCCUGCCAUGCGGGGAACCUAUCACCCCCUAUAUGGCAGUAGCUCUCAUGCCGGCUACGAAAAUGCAAGCCUCGCUGUUUACUGAGUCUAGUACUCACAACCAGGUCAACUUACACCUCAAGGAACUUAAUGACAACUGAGCAUAAGUUCGCUUAUAUGGCUAACAAUUGCAUCAGUAACAGUACGGUGCGGCAGCAACAGCAUGGGCGACACCCCUAGCCCUGGCUUGGCUGCCCCUGGGCCCUGGACAUGGCGUGGCUGCCGCCCAUGCCAUGGCUGGCCCUGGCCUGGCCUGGGCGCCGGCCCUGACCCUGCUGCCAGUGCCCAAGGACUGGCCGGCCGCGGCCGUGGCCGAGGAAGUCAGGCUGCAUGGUCUGCACUGCUUUCCUAGGCUGCGAGCGGCGCCAGCUGCGGCAAGACGGUAAUCCGUCCGACUGCCAUGUCAGUACAGGUAACAUGAUUGACCAAAUGCCCCUGAAGCUGACGCAGGUAAAGAUGCAAUGCAACAGCAAGCUGGAAUGAUGCAAUGACGGAUGCAAGCAAAUAAAAGGUGGGUCUUUUUCCCGUUAGUUUCUUUUUUUUUUGAGACGGCUUGCAUCUAACUUGUACUCCCAUAUUAUACUGGAGAUACAAUUGAUGGAUUGAUGAACGCAGUCAGUUGAAACUUGGAUCAGAAAUCAUUUGAAACAGUCAUGUUUGCCGUAUGCUCAUUAUGGCAUUCUAUAUGCUCAUUAUUCCAUCUAUGCUCACUAAUAUCUUUUUUCCCCCGACGAACUACGCUCACGAAUAUGGCAAUUUUAUUUUUCCCGUAGUGUAAAAUAACAGCGGAACCAUAGCUGCAGGAAAAAAGAAACACUCCAUUAUGCUUAAAGUAACCACGAUACAUCAAACAUGGGUAAAGCAGACAAUUCUCAUCAAACCCUCCUAUUUCUGUUUUCUAGAGCUGGAGCAAUACAAUCAGCUAAAUGGGUGGAGUAACUCUAUGUUUUCUUUGGAGCUCUAAGGUGGAGUUGCUCCAGGAUGGAGUUGGUGGAGUGAAACUAGUUUUUGUAGACUGGAGUGCUCCCAAACAGAUCCUAACAUUAUGCCAUGUGUACAAUAUUGUUGUGAAGUUCCUCAUCUGAUGCACCGACUUAGUUGGUAACCUGGUCGAGGCUUUGCUAUGGUUGGCAGCUCCAGCGUGGCAUUCUAGAGGGUGAUAACAGGAGGGGAACAUACGAAGAGAGUGCAAUAAUACAUUAAAGCACUUGGUUAUAGCUUGGGCAUAUGGUUGGCACCGGGUCGGAGCUCAAGUGUAACGAACGCUCGAUCGGCGCUCCGGCAUGUACGUACUACAAUCAUCUCAUCGGCCAAUCGGGCUGUAAACUCUUCCAUAUGCACAUAGGACACACUAGUGGAGGGUGCCUCGAUUCCUCAAGAAAUCAGGCGAUGCACGCUCUAUUUGUCUUUCUCCAACGUCUCAAUUUAGACGAAUUGGUUUAUUCUGCAAUUGCUUCAUCCUCCAACGUCUCAACUUAGACGAUCGACGAGCUGGGUUCUUAAGCAAUUUCUUAUCUUUUCUGCUCAAGCAAGGAGCAAUAAUGUGUUCAGAACUUUCAAUUUUAUUUAUAGGCGCUUCAUUUCUCGAUCAGUUAGCAGGUCCCUCAGCAUUAGCUAACAGCAUGUCUCAUCUGAUUAGUGUGCUCUUCAUGCCAUUUGACUGUUGCACCCCUGUGCUGUUCACGAACCAAAAGUUUUUGUCAUAUUAUAUUGUGCAAUUGUGCAUGUAUAUGCGGAAGUAUCAAUGAAAAGAAAUAAACGAGCUAGGGGUCCUACUGCCCACAGCUAGUCUUUGUAACUGAGCAAUAAAUUCGUUUAUGUUUUUUAGAUAAAGGAAUAAAUUCGUUUAUAUAGCUAGCAAUGAAUAACUGAGCAUAAAUUCGUUUAUAUAGCUAACAAUUGCAUGAGUAACAAUAGGGUGCUAUAUUUCAAUUGAAGCAAUACAGAAUUUAACAUGGAGAACAACACAGCGUCUGCUUGGUCAAAGUCCAUAGACUAAUACAAAGUUUAGCAUGUCAAUAAGAUAAACAUACUUUUUUUUGAACGAAUGGGCACGGGAUAGUGCCUAUUUCAUUGAGAUAGUAGAUUAUUACAAGAUUGUUACAAAAGUGUUACAAUUAUAUUCCUUUUUCUAACGCGAUUACUCUCUUGAUAAGAAAAACGCUAAGGCUUUCGCCCCUGCUGAAAUCCAUGUGCCUGCUUCCUCUUUGAUUUUUGCCAACAGUGAGGUUGUGGCCAUCUCAUGAUGGUUGAAAAUUCGCCGAUUCCGCUCCUUCCAGAUUUCCCAUAUUAUCAGCAAUCCCAUAGAGCAAACUCCUUUCCGAGGAGCUUCGGUCCUUGUAGUCAUAUUCAUCCACCAAUCUAGGGCAUUGUCGGUUGGGGGCCAUUCCGAAGGUUGCAGGCUGGGUUGCGAAGCCCAAAUGGCAACAAGGCUCCAUAUUCGCUUGAUGUAUCUGCACUGAGUCAAGAGGUGAUGUGCUGUCUCUUGUUGUACUCGGCAUAAAGGGCAAUCUGGUGAGUGAGGCCAUCCUCGUCGCGCAAGUCGAUCAGCUGUCCACACACGGUCCUGCAGUAUCAACCACGCGAAGAAUUUGCACUUCGGGGCGCCCAACAUUUCCAUAUUGUUUUGCUGUGCGGUGCAUAAGUGGAUCCUAGGAACUGUGCCUUGUAUGCUGAUGCCGCUGAGUAUUGUCCAUUUUGCGUGAAUUUCCAACGGAUUGUGUCUUCCUGUCGUGUUUGCAGCCUUACUGUUGCUACUAGCCGCCAUAGUGUGACGAAUUCUUGUAAGUGUCGCGUUGUCAGUCCGGCAUGGAUGUUUAUGUCCGCCACCCAGCUAUUGUUGUGUAAGGCUUCUGCGAGUUUUUUUAUGUUUCCCCCUAGAUAGUUUAUAUAUGUUGGGCGCAAUGUCCUUUUGUCGAGUUCCCCAUCCCCAAGCUGAGUGCCAGAAGCUUGUUCUGCGUCCAUUGCCCACUGUGAUAGUUGUGCAAGCCGCGAAUAGGCGUUGGUCAGAGUUGUCGCAUGGUAUGCCCAUUCCAAUCCAUGUUUUCCCCGGGGACUCCCACUCAUGCCAAAUCCAUCGCAGUCUCAAUGCUCUAGCAAAAUUAUGGAGGUUCAACACUCCUAGUCCGCCAUUGUCUUUCGGUAAGCAGGAUUUUAUCCAGUUGACCUUGCAUUUGCCACCUGUCAGCAUAUUGUCUCCGGCCCAGAUGAACCGUUUCCUCAUUUUGUCUAGUUCUUCCAGAACUUCGCGUGGUGGUUUUAGGACGGUUAGUAGAUAUAAAGGUUGCGCAGAGAGCACGACUUUGGUGAGGCAGACUCGGCCUGCUUGUGUGAUGUUGCGAUUGUGCCAUCCAGAUAGGUUCUUAGCUGUUUUGUCGAUUAGGGGUUGAAAGUCUACUUUCUUUAGACGCCUUAUCGCAAGUGGUAGCCCGAGAUAUUUUAAUGGAAAUCCUGUGCAAGUGAUCGGCCAUUCAGAGAGGGUUUUGUCGAGGUCUACGUUAUUGCAGCUGAUGGGAGCCACUGUUGUCUUUUGUAGAUUUGUUUGGAGUCCUGUGGCCUCCCCGAAUAGGUUCAAGAGUUUUGUGACAUUUGUGACAUCUUCUUGUGUUGGCUUUAUGAAAAUGACCGCGUCAUCAGCGUACAUAGAGAUGCUGGUGCCUGGCGUACGUCCACCUAGCUUUUUGAGUAGUCCCAUACCCGUCGCCGUGUGUAUUAGUUGGUACAGUGGAUCUAUCGCCAGGAUGAAAAGGAAGGGGGAUAGGGGGUCUCCUUGUCGUAGUCCUCGCCCAUGCACUAUUGAGUCGGAUGGAAUUCCAUUUAUCAGGACUUUGGAGGUUGAUGUGGCCAGUAAUGCCGUUAUCCAGUUUCGCCAUCUUGUGGGAAAUCCUCUAUGUUGCAAUAACUCGAGCAGGUAGUCCCAGCGGACAGAGUCGAAAGCCUUUGAGAUGUCCAGCUUCAUUAGCAGCGUCGGCAUUCUGUGCCUGUGAAAUCUUCUUGCCAUAUUCCGAACAUAAAGGAAAUUGUCGUGGAUGCUUCGUCCUUUAAUGAAGGCACUUUGGCUUGGCGAUAUCAGUUUGUCCAUGUAGGGCUGAAGCCUAGUUGCCAGCAUUUUGGUAAUGAUCUUUGCGAUGGCGUGUAUGAGACUUAUCGGUCUCAAGUCAUUGAUGCUUUCAGCUCCGUCCUUUUUGGGUACUAGCACUAUGGUUGCUGAGUUAAGUAAAUUUAGGUCGUUGCAUCUACCGGCGUAGAAAGCGUUUACUGCCGCUAUAACAUCUCCUUUAAUUAUACUCCAGCAUGAUUUGAAGAACAAGCCAGUGAAGCCGUCUGGUCCCGGCGCUUUAUCUUUGGGCAGGGCAGUUAUUGCAUUUUGUAUUUCCUUGUCCGAAAAAGGGUUGUCAAUUCCAGUUAAGUCCACUGCUGGAAAAUGUAGCUUUUCCCAGUUGAAGGCUUUGGUGCGGGCAGGUGGUGCAGACAUCACGCUGUCGAAGUGGUUUUGGAUUAUCUGCUGUUUUUGUAUGUGUGUUACGGCCCAGCCAUUACCCCUCUUCAAUCGUUGAAUGAAGUUUUUUCUCUUCCUCCCAUUUGCCUUGAGGUGGAAAAACUUAGUAUUUGCAUCACCUUCUCGUAGAUAGGUUAUCCUAGAGCACUGUUUCCUUCUUGCUUUUUCUAUGGUCGCCCAUCCUAAGAGUCGUUUUUUGAGUUUGCUCCGUAAGCUGUGCUCCGGUUCUGUGAGUGUUCUUGUUUCCUCGGCUACGUCAAGGCGUAGGAUGACUUCUUGAGCCAUAUGCAUUUUUAAGCGAGCGUCUGAGACAUGCAUUCGGCUCCAUGAUCGCAGUGCUUGGGCUGUUUUGCGCAGUUUGUAGCCCAGUGUAUGGAACGGCUCAGUGUGGGUAGUCGGCUUUGACCAUUCCUGGUUAACGAUCUCAUAAAAUCCUGGUAACCAUGUCCAGAAGUUUUCGAAUUUGAAUGGCGUCGGUUUGCGAGGCCCCGAUUGUUGCGCCAGUAGUAAAGGGCAGUGGUCCGAGUGCGAGGAAGAGAGAGCGUGGAGGACGUGGUCAUCAAAUUGUAGGUCCCAAGAUGCAUUGCAGAAAACUCUAUCGAUUCGCGUUAGCGUCGGCUGCUGCCUUGCAUUGCUCCAGGUAAAUCUCCUGUUUUGUAAGUGGAUUUCUUUAAGUCCGCAAUAAUUCAGUGUUGCUCUAAAUCUCCUCAUAAGCCUCCGGUUUAGUUUGUUGUUAUUCUUGUCUCUUGCACUGUAUAUUAAGUUGAAGUCGCCCAGAAUUAGCCAUUGAGUGUUGUCAUCAGGCGUCGUUGCUCGCAGGUGGCGUAGGAAGGCAGACUUUGCUGAGUGUCGUGAUGGGCCGUAAACCGUCGUGAGUUUGAACCGAAUGUUACUGUGUUUAACUAUUGCUAUUGCUGAGAUAGAAAACCGACUUGUUUGAAUGUUCUGUAUGUCAAAAACUCCUUCAUCCCAGAGUAGGAGGAUACCGCCCUUUGUUCCUGAAGCCGCUUGGUAUGCAAAGUUAUUUAAGCGAGGUCCCCCUAGGAGGUUUGCUAGGGCCGCAUCUAUAUUUUGCAUCUUUGUUUCCUGCAGGCAUGCGAUGUGGCAUGUUGUCGCCGCAAUGGUUUCGCGAACUGUGAGACAUCUUGCAGGUGCAUUUAGCCCUCUCACAUUCCAGCUCAUUAUUUGAAACUUGUCAUUCAUUUUUAAGUUAUUUUGUGGCACAUGAAGAUGGACUGGCCGGGUUGUAGAUUUUGUAGCAAUUGGUGCGGCGGUGUUGCUGUGACUCGCAGAAUAUUAAUCCCGUAGGUGUGCUUCUCAGUAUGCGUAGAUGUUGUUGUGGCUGAAUCAUGUUCGUUGUCGCAUUUUGUCACAGUGAGAGUUGGCGUCGAAGGUUUAGGUUCGUAGUAGUCGGGGCAUAGUUUGUAGUUCAAGUGUUUUGCCCGAAGGUCGCAGCCAGCAGGGCUAAGAUGAAGUCCUCCCCGAAGGUCGCAGCCAGCAGGGCGAGGAACUGAAAUAGAAAUUACAUAAAGGUAGCGGUAGCGGGAGCGAUACAUGAUAGAGUAGUAAGACGCUUGAUGCAAUUGCCGUGGCAGAACUCUCAUGUAGCCGCAUGGUCCAUCUGCUGGAGCUCUCCCACAUCAUCACCUGCCAUCUGUAGGAGUGCUUCGUUCACUUGGUCCGCAGCUUCGUCGUCAAGGUCGAAGAGGGCGGUCAUGGCUGAUAUGAUGAAGUCCGGCAGCGCCCCCUGAAACAUGUUAAGAAAGUCCUGCAGCACUUGUUCAAUUGGUGCCAUCUCGUCAUUGCCAACACCUAAUUUUCUCCAUAGGUUUUGUUGCGCGCGUUCAACUGAAAUAACCAUAACUAUAGUUUUGAAAGAAAAACUAAUCAAGAGGAAAACAAUGUAGCUACCCAUUUAUACAUGCAUCCUAUGCCAAGAUAAUAUACUCCCUCCGUUCCAAAUUGCAAGUCGUUUUAGCUUUUCUAGGUUCAUAGAUAUUAUUAUACGUCUAGACAUAUAAUAUAUCUAGAUGCAUAAUAAUAUCUAUGCACCUAGAAAAGUCAAAACAACUUACAAUUUGGAAUGGAGGGAGUAGAAGAAUAAGUACUACAACUCUUCCUCCGUUGCCCUUUCUCCAAGCAGUGCUGGAACAUUGCAGGCCUACAAGUGGAUGACACAACCUCUGGUUACCAAAUUCUUGAAUCUUUUAAACACCAACUGGUGCAGCCCUUUUUCAUGGAAGUGAUAAUCAUCAUGUCCUGGAGCAUAUGGACAACAAGGAAUGGUUUGACAUUUGAAAAUCAAACAGCCACAGCUCAAGGUUGUAAAGAAAUAUUCAAGCAUGAAUUCUCCAGAGUCAUCUACAGAUCAAACACAAAAUACCGCCCGGCUUCAAUCCUUAUCGUAACUAUUUUCGUUUUCUUUUCCGCUUUGUUGUCAAUAACCUUUUUUGCUUUUAAUAUAUAACCUGUAGGCCCCCCCACCCCCACACACACCCUAAAAAAAGAAAAAAACUAAUCCAUACCAUUGAAGGCUAAUUGUAAUCCACAUAUCGAUGUACUAUGGACAUUACUCAUUCUCAUUUGAUGAGCUAAAGAAGUUUGGGAAUGUUUCUUAAAAAAAAUUGGGAACCCCAUUAUAUUGUUUGAUGGCAGACCACCAUAAAUAGAGGCUUGCGCUGACAGGGCAAGUCUUUUUAGAGGGUGUUGUGGUAAUGAGGUGCUUGCCUGCAUCGAGAAACAGAUAGGGCAUCUAGCAUCGACCUUGGCUCGCUUGAACCAAGGGCCCUCGACCUAGCAAAAGCAAUUCCUCAAUCUUGAAAGUGGGUCGAACAGUUUCUCCAACGUACAAACCAAAACUUUUGCUUCUGCGCAAUGGAUGUGAUUCCUCUACGCAUGCCAAGGACAUGUUUGUGGAGGCUGCCUCAAUUCGUAAUGAUGUGGUAUAUGAUACACAGUCCAUCUGUUUUUCCCCAACAUCCCAUUUACACGAACUUUGAUAAGGUUAGUAAAACAUGCUGGGAACUUCCACUAAUAUAAGGGGGGCAUCAGCGCCUUUGUUGCGGUUUAGCGGUUUAGAGUUUCCAUUUUGCAUUUUUGAAACGAAUCAGGCAGAAGUUUCCAUUUUGCAUUGUAUCAAGGGAAGGGGGAAGAGUCUAGAGGGAGGUAGUUAGCCAAAUUUGCCCGCCACAUAGGACUGCCACGGACGACAUCUCCUAUUCAUAUCCCUGCUGAGUUUGUCCAAAUUGUUUUAAGAUUAUAAUUCCAGAUAGCACGGUUGUUUUACUGUAAAUCUAGACCUAGUGGCUAACUAACUGACCACAGAACAUGUUAUAAUUUUCAUCAAUUGCUUUAAGGAUGCCUUGACAGAGACUAUACAACGACUCAGAUCCUCCUAGUACAACAGAAUUACUUCAAUAACUCAAUUUUAAUGUAUUUAGUUUCCCUACCAAACAAUGUCCGCUUUAUUGUUGCAAAAUACUUCCAAAGAAAAAAAUCAAACAUGCCAGAAGAACGCAAAAGAUCUUCCUCGCAUCCAUGGUAAUAAGCAUCUUGCUAUUGUCUGUGAUUUGGUGCAAAUCUCAAUAUUUGCCUCCUUCACCAUCUCGGGCACUGCGGUCCUAUCCUUGAAAUAGAAUUGAGAAGGCAUGGGGUUCCUACAAAUAGAACUGUUCCUAAUAUCAUUGCAUUCUUCCCACAGAGGGUCGCUCGAGCCAACUAUGCCUCCUCCAAAAUGCAUGUUUGAACAUCAUCUAUCAUUAACUUUUUUUAAUGGAGACUGUACAUCAUCUAUUGGAACUGUUUUCUACAUAAAUAAGGUCAAAAAGUCUUCCAGUUUAGAAACAAAACUUCCAGAACUCAAACUGAUCAUGUAUUUAUUUUCCAGAACAACCAGUAUUCAUUCAGUAAUAUAACAACGCUGAGGAAAAGUAUAUCCUGGAUGGCAAAUACCACAUAGAGAAUACAAGCACAGGCGCGCGCGCGCACACACACACAGGGAGCAAUGGAGGUCACGUCGUCAACAGCUCACCUCGCAACCCCAACACAUGAACGGACACCACCGCCGGGACACACGACGUCGACCUCUCAUCUGUGUCUGUGUAGUUGCCUUUGUUAUAUUUGGCAUGAUCUGGUGAUCGAAACCGAAACGGGUGGGAUCCGCAGAUUCCAUGAAAACAUAACUGGAAUAACCUACAAAUAAAUGCUGAGGUGUGAGGCCUUACAAUACUAUCUGGUCCGAUCAAAUUAAGUUAAGCUGGUUUCAUCUUAUUUCUGAUCAUCAUCUGCAUCUAUUGCCAAAAAAAAAAUCCAGAGAGAAGUUGGCAAUAAUAGCUGAGCUGAUAUCUACAUCUAUAUAUGAUUUAUUUGCAGCAGGUCUUACCUUGGUUUGGUAAUGUGUUCCUCAUAGCUGCUGGUAGUAGCUGGGCAUGGACUGCCUGUGGAGCGAUUUUCACUGCUGGGUCGACGGCGGCCACCGCCGGAUGGCCGUACAUGUACCUGCGGUUAUCAGGCCCUGCCCUUGCCACGUUGCUACCCCACGGCCUCAGGCUGCUUCCACCGCCGGUCGGCUGAGCGCUCUCAUGGUGGCUGCUGGUGGCGGUGGAGGACCAACGGGAGGGAAUCGUCGCCGUGACACCGUCGACGGACGGUGGAGCAGAUGAUUUAGGAGUAGAGUAUUCGCUGUAGCAAUAUAAGGAUGGAUCCUCUGGCUGGAACCGGGUGGAUGUAGCCGCGUCCGUGCCUUGAGACGCGGAGGACGAUGGCCAUGUCAUGGCACCGUUGGCAUAGGUUGGAUAAUGUGAUCUUGAAGUGGGGUAGUAAAUCGACGAGGACGGCGUCGUCCAAGGACACGGCGCUGCCCAGGUCCUCCCGGCACUCUGCAGGCCUCCUACGCUGCCAUCAACAGACCUCGGGAGAGACCAAGAUGGAAGAAGGGAUGCAGGUUGACGAUGGAAGACUGCUGAUGAUGACCUCGAGAGAGACCAAGAUGAAAGAAGGGAUGCAGGUUGACGAUGGAAGACUGCUGAUGAUGACCUCGAGAGUGUCACAGCCGGCGCUCCGGUGAGGGUUGGCGGCAGGCGCGUCCCUAGGGUGAUGGCAGACGAUUGCGCCGCCGACAAUGACCCGUAUGAGGUGGUAGCCAACGAUCUGCUGGAAGAUGAGGCAACGGAAGGCCUGCUCAUGGCAGCUAGCUGUCGAUGCGUAUGCUUGUAGCUAGGGUCUAUGGUGGGAGGGUGGAAUUCUCCAAUGACUUGUUUAAAUUCGAAGCGCUAACUAAAGGACUGCUCCGCUGUUCCUUUCCAUGAAAGCCGCUUCAUAAUAUUAAUCUCAAAGCAACCAAGUAAAAUUUGAUAUGCAUUGUUAAUAGUUAAACCAACAUCCCAGCUCUACCUGCUACGUGCCAAGUCCAUACCAACUGAACUCGCCAUGAAAUCCUAGUCACAAGAAGAGCAAUGUCAACCUUCUUGAGCACUUUUUUCUCACAAGAAGAGCAAUGUCAACUUCAUCAUCGUCAUCAUUUGCCUCCUUCUUAAUGUGUAAUUUCUUCUCUUUAGUUGCCUUGAUUGCAAUAUCAUUCUUCUUCAAGGAGGAAUCGCCUUCUUCAUGGCAAUGCUCAUGUACAUCUCAUUGCCAUUAAUCUUCCCCAUGAUUUGAACAAUGUUAUACUUCUCUUUUGGGAGGAUGCUAAGAAGUCUUUUAUGAGACCCAUCUCCAGGAAAGGCGUUUUCGAUGACAUCGGUUGAGUCAUCACGGAUGCGUGCUUAUACAACGCAUAUGUGCCUUCCUAGUCUGAGCCCGAACUUUUUUCCAAAACCCAAAUGAAUGAAUCUUGUGUCCGCCACAUCUCCUCACGCCACCAUUUCCUCUCCUCCUGCGUCCCCUCUCCCAUCUCCGCCUCGCACUGUCAGAUCCCUAUGACAAUCUUCUCACUGCCAUGAAUCUAUUGGCUUUUCUUAUUGGAUAUUGUAUAUAUAUAUGGUCAUACGAAUUCCACUUGUACAUAAAUUAGGUCCAAUUGAAACCAAAUCAAAUAGGUUUCAGACUUGUCAGUCUAGGAUAAGGAUGCAAAUUGCACUUGUAAAUAAAGUAGAUCUCUAACUGAAGCCAAGUCAAAUCCAUCUAUGCUAGGAAGGUCGUUGACUGGCCAGCCAAUGGUUCUGUUCUACCUAAUCCUGGUAUAUAUAUAUCUGAAUAAUUGCGGUGGCAAUGUCCAAAUUGCUUCACGCAAAGGCGCUAGACAUAUCAUUGGUUGCACAUUGACAAAACUAAAAUGAGGAGAGACCAUUGUGUGUCUUGGUCUUACUAUGGGUGAUGAGUGAUUGAUAUGAUUCUUGAAGUGGUUUGAAGGUGUCCGUGUUGCAUAGCAUGCAUAUGCAUGUUUCAAUUAUAUUGUACUCCUUCCAUUUUAAACUGUAGGUCAUUUUAGCUUUUCUAGGUUCAUAGAUGUUUGUAUGCAUCUAGACAUACACUAUAUUUAGGUGCAUACAAACAUCUAUACACCUAGAAAAGCCAAAAUGACAUACAAUUUGGGACAGAAGGAGUACAUGAUUAUACUUUGGCUGACCAGAAGCACGGUGUUGGAGAAACAUGUCUAUUGUGUUGGAGAUGGCAUGUUAGCAUUAUGUGGUCGAUAGCCUAGGUUCGGUUCCAACAGAUCAAUGAACAAGGGGGGUUUUGCGCUGACGAACCCUGCAGUGUUGAAGGCGAGUUGAGGCUUGAUGCUGAGAGACUCUGCAUCAACGACCCACAUCCCCCGCAUGAAGAUCACAAUGAAACAUGAAGUGAAAAGAGGUGAUGAAGACCGAGAGAGAGAACUAUAUAAUGGAGGCUUAUAUUUGGUAGGGUACCGUGAGAUUCCAGAUGGCUAAAAAAGGAGGCCAUCAAGAUUUUAACGCCAAACGGCUCUUAAGCUACCAUUCGAAUUAUCUAAAGAACUUGCAAAUAAGAACAUUGGAAUGCAUAAAAUGGUGCUAAUUCCACAAAUGGUAAAACAUAGUUGGACAGCUUGUAACGGAAAACAACUGCAUACAUAAAGGAACAAUGAUAAUUAUUUAUCUCCAUAUGUUUCUAUGUAAUGGCCAGCAACUGAACAAUGUCAAUUAUUGAUCUCCAUGUAUGUAUUUAUACAAGGAAACAAUUCUCUAUUUGACACUACAAAAACUACUAGUUCCUUUCUUAGCCCUCAAAAUAAUUUUAGUUCUCUAUUUGACACCAAGUUCAACUUUCGUUCCUUAUACGACACUCUGUUGGAUUUUCCAUCCGGGAACCAUUAAAUGCCCUGCUGUCGGGGAUAGAUCCCCAGUACCCGCCAGGAAGAAAAAAAACGGACUCCUACUAGGAUUCCCCUGUAAUCCUACUAGGACUCAUAACAUGUAAUCCUACUAGGACUCCUCCUUGUAACCGACUAGUAAUCCUGCCCCCUGGAGUAUAUAAAGGAGGGUAGGGGUAUCUAGAUCGGCACCUCAAACCUCAACUCAGAACAGAGGACCAAAUCCUCGCACUACGACACCAAGCGCAGGAUGUAAUAUACAACACCCCAAAUAGGAUGUAGGGUAUUACGCUACUUUAGCGGCCCGAAUAUGUAUAAAUCCGUGUCUUGUGUGCUCGCUUUUACCUUCGAGUUCCAGGUCCGACGAUUCCCCACCGACCAAUCUACUACCUCAAGUACCCCCUUGGUAGGUUGCCGGUAUAAAAUAUCGACAGCAGGCGCACCACGAGAGGUGAUCGUUGAGAUCAUCGGGCAACCUUGAAGGACCUCAUCAUCAAGAUCAGUCUACUCAGCAUGAAUCGGUGGAUCAUUUCGACGAGGUCGAGAUCGGAGCGGACCAAUUCACGUUCGUCACCAGCAAAUUUACCGCUCACCCGGAGCUAGGCCCCACACGCGAUCGUCGCCUCGUCGGCUUGGCGGGAUCAAAAAAAUUCUUUCCGCCUCCAAGUCGAAGACACCAGACGUGUGAAGCAUCAAAACCAAAGUCGCUUCAUUUGAAUUCAAGGCGGCCAGUUCUACUUCAUUAUUGGUGCGGUGCUAUCUCCGAAUCGGUUUCAACUGUCAAGUUCAAGAUUGCAAUCAGACCGAUUAUUUCCGAGUAUACACCGAGAGUAGGAAGCGGAGACAACUCCUGACUCCUCAGCAGCAAGACCAAGGCAACCUUUUUCUCUGCCGCGAGGAAUCAAAUAAGUGAGAUUCAACUACGUGCACUCCAAAAAAUCACCACGAAAAAAAGUCACCACGAAAGUUGCGGAUCAUCGCUACAUGCACACCAAAGAAGGCACCAGGGAGCUUCGAGAUUAUUUUUCCUUUCACUCAAUGUACACGGAAGAUGCGCGAGAGCAUCACUACAUCAAACGUCCAGUCGCGUCGACUCGCCGGCGACUACUUCAAUUUCACGAAGGCGCUCGGCGACCUGCCGACGACUACUUCGACCACUCAUCUCGACUAGGAAACUAGUCGAGGGUGGAUCUCACUUCGUCAACAACUAGUCGGAAUCGACUCCGACUAGUCGACCUCACCAAUAGCCAUCACGGCUUCAUCGACGACAACCUCAACUACUCGUCUCGACUGCAAAACUAGUCGAGGAUGGACUACUUCAACUACCCAUCUCGACUAAGAAAAUUAGUCGGGGUGAACUUCGCACCGUCGACAACUAGGUGACUCCGACUACUCGACUUCGUCAACAACCGUCACGGUUUCAUCGAUGACUGCCACGGCUUUGUUGACAAUCGUCCACGAAUCAAGCUAAGUCACUUUUUUAAUUUUUUCGACUUUGUUUUCCGCAUGCAGGGCAACACGCCGACUACCUUUUUGCGUAUGUCUCUCGAUGGGAAUUACCCUCCAGAGCUACACGUCGCCGACUACCUUUUUGUGUACGUCUCUCGACGGGAAUUACCCUCCAGAGCUACACUUCGCCGACUACUCGCCGGAGAGCAGCAAACUCUUUUGCGCAAUCACACAGUUCUCUUUGUCGUAUUGACGACUACUCUUUUUGUCUUCUCUUAAGGUCACUAAUCUUCUCGAGCAGAACACGCCUUAAUUCGUGAAAGCCUCGAGUGCACCUGUCACGCCUAAAUGCUAGCACACGUACACGAGACAAAGCUCUCAGCUGUGCAAACAGCAGUGCCAAUACAUGUAUACGAGACAAAGAUCUCAUACACACGCAAUGACAAUGGCUAAACGGGGACUGAGAGCCUAAACGUAACAGGCUAACUACUCAGAAAGAAUAUGAAUCAAAUAAGAGCAUGACACAUAAUAUUGAUCACUGAAUAAAUUUCAGCAGUUUUAAUACCUACAAAAAUGCUACAUAAUGUACGCAUCUUUUCUUUCAGGUCAAGCUUCGGCGACGAUGCUCCAUUACACUCAGCGUACCUCCAAAGGCACAGCUAGCUCCCAAAUUCGGGCGCAAAACGCCAGUUACUACUCGGAAUAUCUCUAGUGGCUCAGCUAGCUUCCAAGCUCGGGAGCUAAGCGCCAAUAAGUACUCGACGUGGUUCCUCUAGCUCAUCUGGCGCAUAAGCUCGGGGGCUGCACGCCCGCAAAAACUACUCGGAUGAUGACUUACAUGAAGAUUCAAGACCCUUGGAAUGAUUAUUCAAUCAUUUCAAGGCUCAGGGGCUGAUAACUACACGCAACAGUUGAUUUUUUCAAAUUGAAAGAAGAAGAUUCAAGAUUUCAUUGACCCUCAGCCUGAUUCUUCGAUUCAACCUAAGGCUCGGGGGCUACUCCAUAUGGAGUGCGACUUUCGCUGCCCUCCAUAUACGAAGACUACAAUAUCAAGAUGAUCAAAGCUUUGAGCACACCAUAGCCUCAUAGUAGCUUUGAGAAACUUUGAAGAGCCAACUAGAUAAAGUACUCAAAGAGUACCAAAACUACUCGGUGAGGAUCUUAAAACUCCUCAAAGACUGCUGCAUUCGACUAUAAAGCGCUUGGGGGCUUGUCGGGAUAGAUCCCUAGUACCCGCCAGGAAGGAAGAAAACGGAAUUCUACGAGGAUUCCCUUGUAAUCCUACUAGGACUCAUGUAAUCCUACUAGGACUCCUAACCGACUAGUAAUCCUGCCCACUAAAGUAUAUAAAGGAAGGCAGGGGUACCUAGAUUGGCACCUCAAACCUCAACUCAGAACAGAGGACCAAAUCCUCACACCACAACACCCAAGCGCAGGGUGCAAUAUACAACACCCCAAACAGGACGUAGGGUAUUACGCUACUCUAGCGGCCCGAACCUGUAUAAAUCAGUGUCUUGUGUCCUCGCUUUUAUCUUUGAGUUUCAGGUUCGGCGAUUCCCCACCGACCAAUCUACUACCUCGGGUACUCCCUCGGUAAGUUGCCGGUAUAAAAUACCGACACUUGCUAAAAUAUGAUUUUGCUCCUAUGGGCCCCACCACCCUUCUCCCUCCUCUCCUCCCCUUCUCCCUCCUCUGCUCCACAUCGCACGGGCUCGUCAGCACCUCCUCCGACCGUCGCCGCCCUCCACCCGACCUCGCCUCCCCGCUGCUCCACACCGCCGUGCCUCUCCCGUUCAUCCUUGUUGCCGCAAGGGCCGGCCCCUUCCCUCCCCUCCCAACCCCCCUCUGCCCUUGCACCCCCCCUUUUCCGCUCACUCGCUCGCUCUCUCCCUCGCCCGUGACUCGCCGCGCGGCGGAAACGCCACUGCCAAGGUGAGAUCCGUGUCGGCCCCGCCUCCUCCAAUCUCCACAGGUACGGCCACAACCCGCUUUGCCCAGAUUGUCAUGCCCUCGUGCCGCUCAGAUUUGAUCUCGCUCAAUUUGGCGGUGAUUGAUUUGGUUUCUCUCUCUUUGUGGGUGGGUGCGUCGGAUUUGCGUGCGUGGUGCAGGGCAGGCAGAGGAGGAUGGGGCUGAGGGAGAUGGCGGUGGAGGAGGGGGCGAUGUCGACGACGAGGAUGCUGGCGGGGAGGGGCGCCCGUGGCGACAGGUGCAGUUGUGCGCGGCAGGCCGUCCCCUUGACGGUGACAGGUGCUAGCUGUGGCAGGCAUGUACAGGGAGAAGGGGAGGGGAGGAGGGAGAAGGGUGGUGGGUCUCACAGGAGCAAAAUCGUCUUUUCACAAGGUAUUUAACGGUUCCCGGAUGGAAAAUCCAACAUAGUGUCUAUAAGGAACGAAAGUUGAAUUUAAAUCCAAUAGGGAAUUGUCUCUAACUUGUAUGUGUGUAUAUAUAAAUAUAUCUAUAUUAUUUACAUUAGCAAAUAUCCACGUCUAGCUACUUGACUGCAAUGUCCCUAACUUGUGUCUGAACACCAGGACCGUUAGACCGUUAGCUUCACUAGAGUAUUCGACAUUCAGAACACGGGAGAAGCUCACUACAUCUUGAGUCCCGAUGCCACGCGUACGACCUUGGAGCCGCAUAACAUCUGCACUAGAAUGGCAGAGAAUGUAUACAAAGUUCCCGCUAGGACACACCGCGAUCCUACAGCCGUUGUGAGGACCCAGAAAAUGUUGGACAGCUGCAGCCGUGGUCCACCGCUGAUUGGGAGUACACCAGUUCCCAUAGGCACAAACCAGGCGCUCCUGUUGUCCAGGAACAAUGCCUAGCUGCCAGAUUAAGGCACAGCUGAUCCUCGCGUUUGUCAUUACAAAAGCAUCUGAUUCAAAUAUACAAAUUAAUAAGAACAACAUAUAUAAAUGACAAAUACGUAUGAAGAAAAAUACAAAUCAGAAUACAACAAUGAAAGAAUGAGAAAAGGGCACUGCUACUUAUAGUACAGCUAUAUACUAUAAAGAUUUGAAGAGAGACGUUGCUGGAUGGUAGCUAGUAUAGAGAUGGAGGAGUGCAACAACCUAGAUAAUAUGGAAGAGACUGUUUAGUUUUUUUUUCAGAUUUUUCUUUAGUUAACCGUUUGGUUCGUUGUUAGGUAUUUGGCCCAGAUUUUCUUCUAAAAGUGGCAAAUUCUUUUCUUUUCUAGUGAAUUCAUGAGCUUCCUACCCUUUGAAAGGUUCUUCGAGGAAAGGAAAGCCGGUUUGGUGGUAAAAAAAUUGUAGAAAAGUUUAAUAUGAAAAAACCAAAAUGAACUCUAAUACUCCCUUCGUCCCAGAAUUAGAUUAGAUUUGUCCUAAAUUAAAUCUUUCUAACUUUGACUAUAAAUCGGUAAAAAUUUAUAAAUACUAUGAAUGUAAAAAUGAUGUUAGUAGAAGCAUCGUGAAACCAAAUAUCACAACAGCAGGAGUAUUCAUAUCAGUACACAUAUUUAUAUAUAGUAUAUUUGAAGUUGUGAUAUUGUUUCGGUAAGAAAGUCAAUUUCUAAAUUUCCUGCAUUAAGUGUAUCAGGUAUUCUAAUUAAAAGAUUUUAUGAAAAUCCAGACUAUUUUGAAAAUAAACCUUGGGGCUGGGGCGCCAUAUGCCGUGCAAACUGUUGCGCCACGCAAAUUGGUUUGGAUUUGCUCCACCAGACAAGACCCUAAUGCCUGAGGGCCAAAUAAAAGCUAUGUAUCAUUAAUUUGCAAAACAAGUGAAAUAGAUUGUUUAGGAGGAGAUCAUACCGAAAAAGAUAAUCAAAUAUGAAAAAGAAACAAAUUAAAUGAACUCCAAUAUUGAUUAUUAGCAGAAAUUUUUAUAGUAUAUUUGAAUUUAGGAAGAGUCUGAAUUACUCCCUUCAAAUAUAGAGGAAGUCUAGAUAACCCCUAAAGUAUGUUUUGGUUCAAUUUACCCCUUAAACUAUAUUAUUUGGUUCAACUUACCCCAUAAUAUAAUUUUUUCUCCAUAUACAAGUUGAAUUUUAAUUUGAGACUUUGCAAGGUGUUAGUGGACAUCAUAAUCAUAUUUAAAAUUAUUUUAUGAAGUUUUUAUCAUUAUUUUUUAUAUAAUUUUGUAUCUCAAGGAUAAAUUUUAUUAUUAAAUAUUCUAAUCUAUCAAAUAAUGAUAAAAAGUUCAUCACAUAUUUUUUCUAACAUGUCUUAUGAUGCCUGCUAUCAUCUUGCAAAAUUUGAACCUAAGACUCCACUUGUGCAUGGAGAAAAAAUAUAAAUUAUGUUAAGGGGUAAAUUGAACCAAAUGGCAUAAUUUAGACGGUAAACUGAACCAAAAAUACUUUAGUGGGUUAUCCAGAUUGUAAUUAUACUUGAGGGGAGUAAUUUGGACUUUUUUCUUGAAUUUAUGAUGUCGUUUCAGAAAUAGUUUCUAAAUGUCCUGCUUUAACAACUAUAUCAGGUCUUGUACUUGAAAAGACUUUCUGAAAGUCCAAACAAAUUUAUUUUGAAAAUAACCUGCAGGUUGAUAAGUGGGCGACAACUGUGUUGUGGUUUUGUGCCGAAUGCUCUGAACCCAUGCGCCCCGGAAUGGAUUUGCUCCCUGGGCAUGGUUGUCGCCUGGGGCAGCAGGGCUCCAGCCACCAGGCAUGUCCCUAAUGCAUGUGGCCCAAUUAAAAGCUAGUACUGCGUAUGAUCAUUAAUUUGCAAAACAAGGUCAGACAAAUUAAAUAAACGAAUUAGCAGCAGGAGCCAGGAGUUCGGCGGGCACCAUUAUUGUUUGGCGAUGUGUUGGGCUGCUGGGCUGUCGCUCGAACGGCGCCAUCCACCAGGUCGCUCCAUGUCCUGUCAAUAUGGGGCGAGCAACCUGCUGUGCCAUGUUACUCCAAGAGCCUGCAGGUACCUGCGGUUCUCGUGGUGUCUGAAGCACAAGAUGUGUCGGUGCGCUGUGCAGCGUCAUUGAUGGCUUCCAUCCUGCUGGUCUCAGGGAGGCGGCGGCCAUGCUUCCGACGGAGGAGGCCCAGCUGCAUGCGGACGACCCAGAAGCAGAUGAGCGAGAGCCAGCGGCCAUGGGAGAUUGGGAGCUGCCUGCAGACUGUAGUAGGUCUGUGUAGAGGGAGGCAGCAAAUAAAGGCUACGAAAUGUCGACACAAGUUUGCUCUCGGUUUGCGUACACCUUCUUUUGUAGGCGUGUCGUUCAUCAGUUGCCAACUUUGUUGCUUAUAGGGAAGCCUUUCUUUAUCUCUGGUAGGAGUGUAGGACUAAUUCGUACUUAGCGUCAUUUUAUUGACUAACCAUUACACGGAGAUGUACGUAUGCUCUGGAAAUAACAUCCAUCAUACGCGAUGAUGCAUGACAUAUGGUAUUUUGGCAUACAUCUAUGUUACAUUAGAGCCACAAUAAAAUAUUGCUCACUUGUCAAUAAUUUUUUGGGGAUUUCUAUACUACACUCGAGUGAAAAUCAUCUCUCCCACCCUUGAAUUUUUUCUCUUCCACCUCUUCCCCUUCUUCUCCACCUCCGGCGAGGUCUGGCGAGCCUUUUAGUGUUCGGGGUUUCGGGGAUUCAGGUUACCUGUGUCCGGCGGACCUAGAAGAAGCUCUGCGGUGGUAGGGAAGCGGGCGGUGGUGGUGGUCGAGAUGGCGGUGAGGCGGGGCGGCGGGGGCGAGCUCCGGCGACAAGUUGGCGUGGGAGGGGUCGAGACGGCGGUGGCAUAUCUGGCGGCGAGAGCUGCCGGAGAUGGGCAAGGCGGCGGUGGGGGCGACCGGCGGAGGUGAGCUCCAACAACGGAAAAGAACGAUGGGGGACGGAGGGAUGAGGAUGGAGGGAGGGGCAGUGGAGGGAAGGCGGGCCUCGCCGAUGUCAGGGACGGCACCGGCGAGGCAACAGGGUGGAGGCAGCUGGCGGGAGGCGGAUGGGUCAAGAGGAUAAGGUAGCAGAGGGAUAUGGAAGAAGAUAAGAAAAGGAUUGGAUCCAUCGCAGCCAUCCAUCGUGGAUCCAACGGUUCAAAAAUCGAGUGUAGGAGGGAUCUUCUACACUUGAGUGCGGUGUAGACAGCCCCUAAUUUUUUGUGAGUCCAUGAUUGGUUGGGGCUUGGCGGUAUACAUGGUCAAAUGGGCUGGGCUAAACGGACAGCACAAGGCCCGGCCUGUAUUGGCUCGGCACCAGCACGACCUGGCCCGCCGUUACAUGAGCCCGUGCCAGCAUGGCCCGAGGUAGCAGGCCGGACCUGGGCCGAAGAGGCGGCACGUCGGGCAGCCCAUGGCACGGCCUGCAUAACGGUCAGCACGAUUGAGGCCCGUUAACUCCACCGCAUAUAACGCCCCCGGCCCCCGCGCACCAACCCUAAUCCCCUCCCUGGCUCCCUCCCUCUCCCCCGCAAUCGCCACUCGCCUCUGCCUGUCUGCCUCCUUCCCCUCCCUAGCUCCCUCCCUCACCGCCGGUCACCGCCAAUUCGCCACCGGUCAUCGGCGCUAUCCCGCCUCCGCCUGUCCUUGUCCACCUCCUUCCCCUUCUCAAUCUAGAUGUCGCCAGUCCACCACCGGUCAACGGCGUCGCACCACCGCCUCCGCCUGUCUGCCUCCUUCCUCUUCUCGAUCUAGAUCUUGGCGUGCUCGGCUGCUCUGGCAGCGCAGGUAAGAUCUCCUCCUCUAACCUCUUCUGCUCUUCUGCUAUCAUGUUCUUGAGAUCUCACAUCUUGUUCUUGUAGGUCGUUGGCCGAGCACGAUGCCAUCGUGCUCACGUGGGUGCAGCGCGUGCCGUUGAGGAGCCUGAGCCGCCGAGAAGGUGAGGAGGAGGGAGGUCGUCGGAGAUGGAUACUGAUACACCGACCUCCAAUGACUGCUAUUGACCUUGGUCAUCAGAAGAGGAUGUCCUCUAGGUUGGCUUGGCCGGUGGCAGCACUGCAGCUGCUAUCGACCUUGAUGCUGCCGGGCCUGUCGGCGCGCCCAAGGUGCCGACGCCACCGGUGAGCUCCGGCGGGAAGAGGGUCAGGAACUCCACCUCUAAGGUGUGGAACAACUUUGAGGAGCUCUUCACCAUGAGGAAUAGCAAGAAGGUCAGGUAUGGCGCUAAGUGCCGCUUCUAGUGGUACUGGCCAUUUGUGCCGGCACAUUCUUGCUUGCUGGAAGAGAAAAGAAACUAAUCGUAUGUCUCAAUCUAUGCUAAAGUUCAACCCUGAUGGUUCUAUCCAUCACUAGGAGUACUCUAAUGCUGUUGCUCGUACAUCACUGGGAGUUUAGUUUGGACAUAGAUGUUAGAUGGAACUCCACAUACCUCAUGCUCAAGCAUGUUGUGCCAUAUCAGAGUACUUUUUCUAUCUUUAUCAAAACUCAGUAUCCUUUGCGUGGUGAUGGCUUGCCACUGCUCACUGAUAACCACCGGUAUGUUGCUGAAAAGGUAUUGGAAUUCCUUGAACUCUUCUAUGAUUCAACAGUUGCUCUAUCUGGUGUUUAUUAUCCUACAUCUUCUCUAAUGCUACAUCAUAUUCUUGAUAUUGCUGGACAUUUCAAUGCAUAUGAGAAUGAUGACUUGCUUAGACAUGUUGUUGUUCCUAUGAAAGAUAAGUUUCUAAAAUACUGGAGGAAAAUACCUGUGCUAUAUGCCUUUGCUUUUAUAUUGGAUCCUAGAGCUAAGAUGAAAAGCUUUCAUAAUGUUCUUUGAUUGUUACCUAAUCUUACUGGUAUAGAUUACUCUAGAUACCCAACUGAUGUGCGUGGUAAGUUAACUAAGAUCUUUUCAAAAAAGGUAUGAAACCAAGUUUGGUGAAGUUCGCUUGCAUCGACCCCAACAGUCAGUAAGUACUAGUAUUGGUAAGAAGAAAAUGGCUUGGGGUAAAAAUUUUGGUGGUUCUGACAUGAGUAGCACUUCUGGUUCUGGUUCUAUUUGUUCUCCUUCUCAAUUGGGAAGGAGGACAAGUACUGGUGCACUAUUUGCAGCUGCUACAUCUCUUUCAGAGCUGUCAUCAUACCUAGACAGUGACUGCGUCGCCCAAUACGAUGAAGACUUCAACAUUCUCAAUUGGUGGCAUGAGCAUAAGCAUAAGCAAACUUAUCCCAUUCUUUCUAUACUUGCUAAAGAUGUGCUAACAGUACCUACUUCCACAAUAUCAUCAGAAUCCACUUUUAGUCUUGCUGGCAGGGUGCUUGAGGAGCGGCGAUGGCGGCUGACAUGUGACAUGGUGGAGGUGCUGUCUUGCUUGAAGGACUGGGAGCUAGCUGAUGCUCAAUUGCAGCACAACAUCAAGAAGGAGACCAAAGAUCUGGAGUUAGCUUUCGAGAACAUGUACCUUGAUCAUGAUGCUGCUGAUGAUGAUGGUUAAAGGCUAUGCUUUUAUCUUUUCUACUUAGUAUCGCACUAUUUGUGUAAUGAACAUUUGGACAUCUAAUCUUAAGACAUUAAGAACUCUCUAGAGCUGAGCUGUACUCUUUUUUCCUUUCUAGGGUUUCUCACGAGGUGUGAGUUUUACAUAGAAAGGUUUUUAAUGAGGCAGGCACACCAAACAACUCAAAUAAAAUUUGAUCUUUGAUCUCUAUGUCUCUAUGAGUUAUGAUUUUAAUAAUAUGUAUGUAUAUGUGCUGUGCAUUCCCUAUUUCCUUGUGAUCUUGGCAUUCCUUGUUAUUUUGGGCAUCUGUUGGAGGGUUUUUUGUUUGGCGGGCCGAUGGACGGCUUGACCUACCUAGCCUGUCGAGCUAUCGUGCCGCUCCAGCCCACAAAGGUAUAAAGAGGCCGGACCUGACCUGUAAGACUUCAUAGCGGGCGGUCCGAUCCAGCAUGACACUAUAGCCGAGCCGAUAUAGGCCGGGCUAGGUUGGGCUCAUGCCAGCCGCCCGUUUGACCAUGUAUACUUGGCGGUGCCACCGUCAGCUCUGCCCUUCGUCACAUCACAUCUGCACUCUGCUCCUCAGGCAGGCAGCAGCUGCCAGAGGUCUGCUUUGUCCGGUCAUCCUACUCAAAGUUACAUUUAUUAGUUCCUUUAGCAAUUGCUUUGACUCAUCGAGGCUAUUGAGAGACGCUAAACGCUUGGUUGUGGUUUUUCUUUUUGGCUCAAGCUGGUAGUUACCAUGUCGUUCAUCUUCUUUUGUAGGCGUGUUUGCCAACUUUGUUGCUUAUAAGAGUGUAGGACUAAUUCGUACUUAGCGUCAUUUUAUUGACUAACCAUUACACGGAGAUGUACGUAUGCUCUGGAAAUGGCGUCCAUCGUACGCGCGAUGAUGCAUGACACACGGUAUUUUGGCAUACAUCUGUAUUACAUUAGAGAUACAAUAAAAUAUUAGUCACUUGUCAAUAUUUUUUUUGAGGCGAACUCGAAUUGGUUUUUAUUAAUAUAUAAUAUAAUCUACCGACAAAAAAUAACAAGAUUUCAUUUUUUGUUAGAGUAAACUCAACAUGAGUUGCUCUCAAACAAAUGAAAUUGAGCAACCGUCCUGAUUCAAAGAAACAGUUCUCCAUGACCUGCAUAGUGGACUUUCUUCCGGAGGUAGAUAGGCCAUUUAACUUUUUUGCCACUGUCGUUACGGAUAGGCCCAGCUGAGUAGACAUUUUGCAUGGCAUUCACUUGGUAAGGAUCGCAAAAUUUUUGUUAUGCCUAUGUGACGGCAUAACCGCGUAAGGGUUACUAAGAUAAAAUUAAAUCAUGUUGGUACAAGUACAACAAGUCACACAACUGGGUUAUUAUUGGAAAACUUUGUGAAAUCAAAUGGGCAAGGUGGCUUAUUUGUGGGUGAUUCCUACCGAAUCAGAUAAGACACUCUGAGAACGUCAAGAUGUACUUCCUUAUCUGGGAGAUUUCGACCUAACAAACAGAAAGCACUCCAUGCAUCGUCAUGGUGGCACCUAGGCCAACCAGUCAGCAGGUAUGCUUGCACUGCAACAUAAAGGCCCGGCCAGCACAGUUGGCCUAUCGAGUGGCCCUAGGCGUUGGGCUGGCUCAGCUCUGCCCCUGAUCACGUCUGCACUCUGCUCAGGCAGGCAGCCGCUGCCACCUGCCAGAGGUCUGCUUGGUCCAGUCAUCCUACUCAAAAGUUACAUUUAGUUCCUUUAGCAAUUGCUUUGACUCGGCGAGACUAUUGUGAGAUGCUAAACGCUUGGUUGUGGGGUUUUAUUUUUUAUUUUUGGCUCAAGCUGGUGGUUACCAAUUACCAUGUGUUCGGAUCUUCUACCUGCGUGUCAUCACCUUUUAAUUGGUUGACUAGUUCACAUGCAACAGCAUUCUUUAUCAUUUGAUUGAUGUGUGUAACUGAAUUACGCAUGCCAUUUGAUCCCUGUGCAUGCAGUUGUAUCAUUCAUGUUUCUUUUACCCUCUUUGCUUGUUCAACAGCUUAAUAAUGGAAAAUUAAUCUUGUCCUGCAGUUGAAUUAUGUUACACAUACCACCCGCUUGCAAUUUCUUAUAUCAUAAUGUCAGUAAUUUGUUCAUAUGACCAUCAUAAAAAGCCUCAUACAGUGUCCAUGUUAUGGUCCCCUUUUCACAAUUCACAACAAAAUUAUUCCCAAACCAAUAUGACACAAGUUGGGAAAACUGAUUACUUGAAAGGCAUUGACAAAUUAGAAUGUCGUAGAAGUGCUACUACAAUGGCCUAUACAACUAUACAAGACUGUAAACUCUAGGGUGGCGAAAAGAAGACUCUGCUCUACUAGAGUAACUGUAACAUGAUUGCUCCAAGACAAGCCAUACAGGUAACAAACCCAAUUUCUGUAAUCAACGAAGCCAUAGGAGAUAAAUCAUAAGGCCAUGCUUUUCAGAUGCCACAACCUCUCACCAACUGUAGAAACAUGUCAUUUUCUCAGUUCUCCAAGUCCUGAAGACGUAGUAUAUUGGUAAGACAACAGUUUAACAUGGAAACAGGGAAUAACUGUGAACUCUUUCAUGUUAAAAAAACCUUACCAUCUCCAUUUUUUGAAAGAUGGGAAAGUUGCUUCGAUGCCAACUACGGCACAAUCAAAAUCCUGUCCUCCCUGAAUGCUGCUAGCUUCAAUCUGAUGCUGCCUUCCAUAUUCAGUUAUGGACUUCUAGUACUCCAUAUCAAACAAAUGCAGAAAUAUAUGGAGCUCAUGUUACCUUCUCUCUCAAUGCAUCUGUUAUGAACAAGCUAAAAUGGGUCAUCCAGGAAAACAUGAUGCAAAACAUGCAGUGCUCCCUUAGUCAAUGGAGAAAUGGAAACAGAAAAGAAAAUAGUGAUGAACAUAUAGAGUAAGCAUUACUUGUGAACGGAUCUACAGAAGUUACUUUAAUUCAGCAUACAUGUAUGUUACACUUGCACCAAAAGAGAUUUUCGACUAUCAUGUAAAAUAAAACAAAAUCAAAAGGUAUGACAAACAGCAGGGUAAGGUAAAACAACUACACUUAAAAUCCAGUGGUUCAAGUUCAAACAUUUACAAACAUCAAAGGAGCAUAUCAGACAAUUGAAGAUUCAAAGGAACAAAAACGGAGCCAAACAUCCAAUCAAUUGCAAUGGUACUUCGAGACUUUGGAAAUCAAAUAUCUCGUUUUUUAUAUCUCAAUCUAGUUUGUCAAAAGAGUCAUUUGCUAAAUAAAUGUAUAACUGUUUUUUCCUUUGAUAUAUGGAUUAAUUGAAGUAGUGGCAUGUUGCAGUUUAUUUCCUCCCAUUCUUUUUACAUCAGUAUAUUAUAGCAUACUAUAAUACUAAGUUGAUUCAAAAUAGUUUUUAUAAAAAUUAUCAGUUUCCAUAAAACAUGAAUUAAGAAUAUGAAAACUAUUAAUCCGUGAAAAUACAAAGGUUUAAGAAGAAGAUCAAUAAUUUAACCAUGGCAACUUUGCAGGCAUGAACAAUGAUUAUAUUUUGCAGCAGCUUAGUUUGAGAAAUUUCAAAAGAUGAGAUGAACUGGAUUUGUAUCUUGCCUCCAAAGACCAAGCUGGACAUAUUGAACAUAAAUCAUAUAUGAAGAUAUUAUUACAUUAAACAACAAUAAAACACUUUUUAUGCAAACAAUAAUUAGAUUAGGAGGUGCCAUACUUAUUUUUUCUUGCAUGAGAGUAACAUAGUCCAUGCUGUUGUCUCUCCAGAUAUAUGGAAGUACACUUUGAUACAUAUAUAGUGUUGGAUGGACUCCAGCAUCUUCCAUCCAGUGCAAAACCUAUAUGGGCCAAACAAAGGAAAUAAUUAGAGAAGUGAUAAAGUUUGAGAAUUUUUAAAUUAUCAUCCAUCUUUUUCCCCUGUUUCAUACAUAUUUCCAAUAAAAUACUAACCAACCCCAAGCUUAAAAUGCUUAUGUUACAGUUUGCUGGAGGAAGAAUGUCAAAUUAAUAAUUCACAAUUCAAAAUUUUCCAACAGGACAUAAUGGAUGCAGGUUUCACCAUUCCCAACAACUAAGAGGUUGCAGAGUUCUCAUUCGGAAUAAAUAACACCAUCAUCUUAUCACAACUUAGCAAUUGUAAAUAGAAUCUAGCUAAUGUAGUUCUCUUAUCUUCUAAGGGAAUCUUUUUUUGAAGGACCCCUCAACUCUUAUUCAAAUGUGACAAUAUAGCUGCCCAGUAAUAUGUGCUGUAUACCUCAAUAUACUUUCUCCAUUUCCCAACAACUAAAAGGUUUCUCAACAGAACCGUAUAAGUAGACAGGCCCACAGUAGAGCGCGAAGUCACCAUCUUAUAAAACAGCUGCACGAUAGAAAAUCAUGACAAUAAGCUUAGUCUUAUCCUUCAAAGAGUUCAAGGGGAAGCAGCAACAGGAAAUGCACCAUCGACAGACAAAGCAUCACUACUGAAAUUGUUUUUUUCUCACAAAGUGUAUUGAUCAAGUCUGCAUGUUCCUCAAGUAUCAAAUAUAUUCACAAAAGAAAGUGGUGAUGACUCAAAACUAGUAAAGAUGGCAGUAGUAUUCUCAAUGCUAAAAUCAUUUUAUUUGGUUGAGAACAGCAAAUAGGUGAUGCAUGGAGCUAUAUCUUGCUGUCGCACAUUGGUGCUAUUAAGAAACCACUACGGCAAAGGAAUUAACAUCACACAGAGGUAGUGAUUUCUCUGAAAUGAGGAAUCUCUCUAUCUGAAAUGCUCAUGUCAGUAUUAAAUUAUUCUCUGUUUGCAGGAAAAGAGUUCAAUUAUGCCAAUGCAAUUACUGCAUGUAUAGACUGAGUACUAAAAAAAAAUGACAACAAGGCAGUUAAAUCCACCACAUGUUGACGUUGGAAAUUAUAAAGAAGAGGUCACACGAUGGCGCCUACGUUACGGGGUCCAAUUAUACCUUCAUCAUGCUCUCUGUCUUGCCACAUUUUCCAAGAAAAUUCAAAAGAUGAUUUAGUGUGCCAACCGAAAUGGAUGAUAGUGAUGAAUCCAAAUGUUCGAUUAUUUCACUGGCUGUUUUCCAUUCCCGUAGCCUGUUGCAGAGCAGCAAAAAUCUCAUUAGUUAAACUAGCAGCACUAGUAACCUCUCAAAAGAAAUAGAACAGAUAAAAUAGAAUAUCAAACUACUCACUGCAUCAAACAUGCAUGAAAACAAGAUAAAAACAUGACAUGAUCUAGAUGAUAAUAGCAAAAGGUGCAUACUGCAGAGGCCCGCUUUAUAAAACAACAAAUGCUCAACAAGUAAAAAGAAAGGAUGUAACUGAAUUACUGAACUAGCAUUUGAACAGAGUAGGCAAACGGACAGACCCGGUAGCCUCAAACAUCAUUUUCUCAAUUUCAAAAUUUGAUCGAACAGAAAUAAGAGAUAUCUCACCCACCACAACAUUAUAUCCUGCUAUCUCAAUAAAUAUACAACUUUAUUUCUAUUUAUACUUAUUAACUAUUUAUAUAUAUUUGGCGAGGUGACACUAAAACAACAAGCAGCUACAAGUGAGUAUCUCAAAUGGUAACGUAUUAAAUACAAAUGGUAAUUUAAAAGUUCACCUGCAUAAUACUACGUGCAUAACGAGGCAGAAAGUUACCCACACCUAAAUGUAUAGUACAAACAACCAACAUUGUGACACUACAGCAACGUAUAUAUGUAUUUAACAGUCAAAAUAAUAGCCGAGAGUGAAUACUAUUUCAACAAUAAUAAAUCUAGUUACAAUGCACGUGCAACUUAAGACAGUGGAUAAACAUACAUGCUGCAUGAAGCUAUUAUCUCAAAAUAAGCCUUUUGGUUCAAUGGAAUCUGUUUUUGCUUCAUGAAUUCCAUCAACUGAAGGACCAUUUCAGGUUGGCUUCCCUUAUUCAAUGUUUCCAUGAGGGAUGAACAUACAAUGGCAUCUGGCUGCACAUCAUUACUUUCCAUCUCUUUGAACAGGUCCCAUGCUCUCCUCCAGCUCCCUUAUGAUCCAUACAGACACAGGAUUAGUUGAAAACUUAAAGUUAUUGAAACAUUUCCUGAUCAUAAGAGAAUCUUACCAUCAUCCCUAUAGGCUUUAAUCAUAGCAGUAUAUGUCAAAACAUCAGGGAAGCAACCAGAUUCUUUCAUAGAACUAAAAGUAGAUUCUGCUUCAGUUAGUUUGCCCUGAAUCGAAAUCAUUGUUAGCGUACCAAUUCUUCACAGGGAACCAGAGAGAUAAUGUCAGCAACAGUUACCUGUUUGACAUAUGAACAAAUCACGGACGAGUAGACUUCCUUGGUCAAAUGAAUCUUCAGGUCCAUCAUGUCUUCAAAAAAUUUCAGAGAUUCUGCGUACCUUCCCAAUUUACAAGAUCCACUAAUGAGUAUAUUGUAAGUUACAGCAUCUGGCUUCACGUUGCUCGCCCUCAUUAAUGUGUACAACUCCAAAGCUUUCUCAUAAUCACCCAAACUUAAAUAGCUUCCAAUGCCUGAGUUGUAAGCAACUGUAUUUAGUUCGAUCCCUCGAGACUUAGCUGCUGCAAGAAUUGUGUCAAUUUUAGCUAGUUGUCUGCAGCGACCACAUGCUGUUAACAGGGUACUUAUUGAAACAACAUCCGGUUGAAUGCCAUCUCUCUCCAUUUCAUGCAGAAAACUAACAGCUUCCUUCAACAUUCCAGCAGAUCCAUAAGCAUCAAUAAGUGCAUUGUAACUGACUUUGUUUGGCUUGCAUGCAUUCUUCCUCAUUUCAUUAAAGACGUCCCUAGCCUUCUCAGGUUGAGCAGAUCUACCAUAAGCAUUAAGUAAGGAGCUGUAGGAAACUAUAUCAGGUCUCAACCCGUUUUGCUUCAGUAAUUUAAAAGUUUCCAAGGCCUCUUUGUGCGCACCAUGUGAGGCAUAAGCACCCAAAAGUGCAUUGUAGGAUACAAUAUUAGGCUUGACACCUUCAGCAAUCAUCAUAUCAAAAACAGCCUUGCAAUUUUCAGCUUGCCCGCAAACAGAAUAAGAAUACAUUAUGCUAGUAUAUGUAACAACAUCUGGAGGACAUAUUGUUCUUUUUUCCCUCAUUGAGUUAAACAACUCAAUAGCUUCCCCAUACUGCCCAACCUUUACAAGGCAAUGGAUCACAAUAUUCAAAGUGAAUGUAUCAGGGGCAACAUUAGAUGAUUUCAUAAUUUCAAAGUAAGCUAUGGCUUUUGAAUACUGAGCUCCAUUCUUGAAAGCAGACAAGACAAUGUUGUGUGUGACCAAAUCUGGUCCUACGCCAUUUUCAGUCAUCUUCUUACAAAGUUCUAAAGCUUUCUUCCAGUUACCAGCAGCCCCACAUGCAUUUAUUACAUUAUUAUACGUAGUUCGAGUAGGAGGUAUCUGCAACAAAAAAGUAUCUCUUAAAGGAGAGAACUAAACCAGCCAUAAUGUAUAAUGACAGAUUAUUUCUACAAUGAUAUAUUCCAGGGGCCUCUAGAUGCUAGAUAUGUAGAAUAUCGUUACAAGCAGUAAUCUAGAUGGCCAUGCCUUCAUAGUUCAUAGUGAUCCUAGUGAUGUACUUACAGCAGCACGUUGCAUAUCUUCCAUAAUGUUGAUGGCCCAACGCCACUGGCCAGCUCGAGCAUGCGCAUGGAUCAAAGAGUUGUAUGUAUCAGCAUCAGGCUUGCACCUAUGGAUAUAUCAUUUAUGUAAAAAUGAAAAAGUCCAAGAGUGAACAGAUGAUGGAAAUGCUGCCAUCUCACCAAACUAGUGAAAAAAAAUAUACAUAAACAAAAGCUGCAUGUAAGUUAUAUUUUAAGCAAGAUAUCUUAUUGGUGAGACAUAAUAACAGUACAACAUCACGAAUUUUACGAAUGCCAACCAAUAUGCUAAAGCAGUAGAAGUCCUAUGACAGACUUGUUGUUCUUAGUUUAAACAAAAAGCCAUUCUAGGGCUGAUAUGACUAUGGCUUCUAGUGAGGGUGAAAGAAAACAAUAGGUCAAUAUUGCUUAAGGUGCUGAAAGUAUGACAUCUAGCACUCAUACCUCCAUUCUUGCAUCUCAAAGAAAAGGCCACGUGCCUGAUCAACCUGAUUGUGUCUAGCAUGUAACCUUAUCAUCAUGCCAUAAAUGUCAUUACGAGCACAAUAAUUCUCCUGGUUUUUCAUCCAGCGGAACACAUGUACGGCAUGUUUCAAGGAUCCAGAAAUUGUGAUUUCCUACAAGUGAUACAAACUGUGUGAGUGCAUUAUCACUGGCACAAGCUAACGUGUAAACGAAUUUAUGGAGAUUUUUGGUUUGUUACAAAAAUAAGAACCAUGACUUGCAAAUGCAGUAGCUACUAAGGGGUUCUACCACACACUCUCUAAUAGAACAAUAUUGGGAGCACAAAAAUGAUGGUGACAAUUGACUCUUGAGAGAAUAACUAGAUUUUCUGGACUGAUUGAGGACAAAAUAGCUUUGGACGCAUACUGAAAAUCAUGAACAAAGUUGCAGAUGACCAUCUGAGAAACCUAGGUACAAAUACUGCAAAGUAAUGGAACUGGCAUACACAAUUAUGAACUCCAUAGACAAACCAAAGAAUCAGCAGAGUUGCCUAUGCCACAUGGAAAUAGAUACAGCGCUAUUGUAGUUGAAUAUAUUAAUAUAAAGCACCAAAAGAUAGUUGACACCGAACAAAGAUAGUUAACCUACUCUGGUAAAUUAAUUAUCAUAUUAAUAACAAACCAAAGAAUCCGUCAUAGCAAUCAUAUGCCCAACCAUGAAGGACUCCGUACUGCCAAUAACUAGAACUCAACAUGAACUAACCUAAAUAAAAUACUGUAUUAUAAGGUCAAGCAACUUGGUUAAGUCGCGUCCUACUCCCCUCACAAUAAAUUAGUUGCAAAAAACUAAACGUUGGCCUGGGUGGGUCCAUCCAAGUCACUGAAUGUGGGCCGGGUGGCAGAUUUACAUGCCAAUCGUACCAAUUUAGUGGCAAAGAUCUAAUUUUGUUUUGCUCCCCUCGAGCCAUUCGAAUGCCACAGUACUAGCCAGUAGUAGCAUCCGCACAAGCAGUCAUUUCAUUAAACACGUAGCAGGUCGCAAGCACAGAGAGAACGGGGGCAUACGCGGAUGAGGAGCGGGAAAUUGCGGCGGGCGAAGCGGCCGGCCCAGCUGUUGAGCACGUCGUCGACGGCGCGCGCGUCGGUGCGGGGCAGCGCUAGCACGCGCGCGGCGGCCUCCGACACCUUCCAGUCCCGCUGCCACCGGGUGCCCUCCACGCGGAGGCGGUGCCGCGCGGGGAGCGACGCGGCGCCGACGCCAUCCACCUCGACGCGGGCCCUGCGGCGGCCGCGGUCGAGGUCGACGGACACGGCGGGCCGCCGCUCCGCCCACGGCGGCGGGCCGGGCGCGCGGGGCGGGGGCCGCCGAGGCCGCGCGCGGAAGACGCGCGGGGAGCCCGCGUCGGGGCUCGGCGGCGGAGGCGGGGCCGCGGGAGCGGAGGACAUCGGCGGCGCGGCGCGGGUUUACCGUUGUGGUUGCGGAUGCGCGGGGUUUUGGAUAGCGUGGGCGUUCUGGAGCUGGCGCCGCCACCAUCUCAGUUUCUGAGCCCUGAGCCUUUUUCCAUGUGAUUUGAUAAUUGUUAUUAAACCUCGGGCCGGGCCGGGCUUUUUGGAUGGGCUGAGAUGGAACGAGUUCAAAUAUCCAAACCAACCAGUUCAAGCAUGAAAAUAAAGUUAGUGAUUCAUUUUUCUGAAUAGUUACGUGUUCGCCAUGGUGGAGUCGGCCAGCACCUCUCCAUGUGUCGACGGUGCAAGCUCUGCUUCGACAUCUCAGGGGGCACAAUAAUUUUGUUUUCGACAAUCUUGUUCAGACUCCACAAUUUCAAGUAACCAACCAUUGCGUGAACUUUUGAUGCUCAUGUGAUCGUGUUCUCCCCCACUACUUUUCAAAGCUUUUUUAUUUCUAUUUCUAUUUCUUCCUUCCCUCUAAUCUGGUCUCUACAUGUACUGUUGUAUCAUAUGUCGCUUUAAAGUUUCAGACUUACAAAAUCUAUGCAUAUGCAUGUGUUUUUUCGAAUAAAAUAAGAUGUUUCUUCCAUUAACCUCCAACAUUUUUCUUGUUGCGCUAGGAUUUUCUAGUGCAAGAUUUGAUUAAGGAUUUAAGAUUGAAUAUGGUAGGCUCAUUUAUGAAUUCUGAAUGAAGGACAUCUGAAGUUUUAAUACAAUGGCAGAUAACUUUCUCACAAAUAGUAGACGUUGUCUUUUUCCAUGAGCAUUGUUAGGGAGGUGCCAAUGAUUUUUUUUCGUCUAGUAGAGUAGCGAGAGCAUAGUAGAAGUACAAAAAAAAAUUCUCAUCUAGGGGGUAUUUAGAACUUUAGCACCCCUAUUUUAGUUCAUUUUAAUCACAAGUGCUCCCAAACAGGUGUGCUAAAACUCAAGUGCUUAAAUUUAGCACCCCCAUAAUCCUUUAGUCACUUGGGGGUAGCUAAAACUGACUAAACUUGGUCCCCCUAGACCAAUUCCCCCCUUGCCCCCUCCCCUCUCUCCUCCCCGCCAGACCCCGCCGCCAUCCUUCUCCGCCCGCCACCUUGCCGCCUCUGGCCGACCCCGCCGAUCCCACCGCCUCCUCCCCUCACUCUCUCUCUCUCUCCCCGCGAGGGGCACCACGACGCCUCGCCUCCACGGGCCCCGCCGUCGUGCCCGCCUCCGCCCGACCCCGCCUCGCCAUCGCCCCGCGGCCCGAGAUCGGCGACAAGGCCGUCCAGCCGCCAUUAAUUCUACCUCCUACUCGCCGCUGUGCACCACGGCGGCGGUCUUGUCCAGCACGGUGCUGGUCGACGUCGUCCGCAUCGCGCCCCGCGGCCCGUGCCGGUGCCGGUGGCGAGGACGGGGAGCAGCAGUAGGGGCCCCGAGGCCGGCGUGUUGGAGAAGACGUCUGGCGUGUCAUCGUCAUCGGGCGAGGGCGGCGGCAACGCCUUCCCGUGGAGCAAGAACGGCAGCAACCUGCUCCAGUGGCCCGUCGAGGAGGUUGAGACGCUGCGCCAAGGGCCUCAACGGCGGCGUCACCAUGCACUUCUACCAGGACGAGUCACGGUCCUCCAACGCCAACGACAUCGUCAAGCGCAUCGUCGGCAGCACCCUCCCCGUGCUUGACGGCGAGACCCUCUCGCUACGGGUGCUUGUUGACCACUCCAUCGUCGAGAGCUUCGCACAGGGUGGGAGGUCCACGGCCACCUACCGGGCUUCCGACGUGGCAAGACGACGCGAGAAGGACCGCGAUGCGGAAAAGAAGAGAAGAGGAGGCUUGCAGGAAGGAAUGGAGGGGGAGGGGCAUCGGUGGAGGGGUAGAGUAGUCAUUUUGUGCAACAGGUGCUAAAUUUUAGCUCUUCAUCCAAACACCCCAAAAGGUUGAAAUUUAGCACUUUAUUUGAGGGGGCUAAAAUUUAGUCCAUGCGAUCUCCUCCCAAACAGGGUUCUUAGGCUGUUCGCACCGGGAACCGCUAAACGAUCCUCCAGUACCGCGGCAGCGGAAAAAACCCCGCACCGUGGUAUUGGGAGGCCUCCGGUACGCCAACGGACGACCGACGGUCCGCUACUUCUAGCGGACGCCCAAGGCACCCGCUACCCGCCUCCCAAGACCGCUAGCCCCAACGGGCACCCCCCUCGCGCCUCCGCUCGGACUCGUCGCCACCGCUGGACCCCUGUCGGACCGCCGCUGCCACUGGACCACCGCCGGUGGAUCUGUCGCCGCUGGAUCCGUCGGGAAGGAGGAGGGGGUAGUGGCAAGGAAGGAGGAGGAGGCAGCGUCGGUGAGGAAGAAGGAGGGGGUGGCGUCGGGAGAAAGGAGGAGGGGGCCGGGGAGGAGAACGGGGCCGAUGGAGAGGAAGAGCCAGCGGGUGAGGCGGCGGCGGCAAGGAAGGAGGAGGGGGCGGCGUCGGCGAGGAAGAAGGAGGGGGCAGCGUCGGCGAGGAGGACGGGCUGGGAAGGAGAACGGAGCCGGCGGGGAGGCGGCGGUGGCGAGGAAGGAGGAGGGGGCGGCGUCAGCGAGGAAGGAGGAACGGGUGCCGUCGGGGAGGAGGACGGGGUCGGGGAGGAGAACGGGGCCGGCGGGGAGGCGGCAGUGGCGGGGAAGGAGGAGGGGGCGGCAUCGGGAGGAAGGAGGAGGGGGCGGCGUCGGCGAGGAAGGAGGAACGGGCGCCGUCGGGAAGGAGGACGGGGUCGGGGAGGAGAACGGGGCUGGCGGGGAGGAAGCAGCAGCGAGGAAGGAGGAGGGGGUGGCGUCGGGAGGAAGGAGGAGGGAGCGCCGUCGGGGAGGAGGAGGAGGGGGAGGGGGUGGUAGGGAGAAGGAGGAGGAAGGAGCCGGUGGGAGAGAGAAAGAGGGAGGAAUGGGAGGGGGCGGUGGGGAGAACGAGGCAUCGGUAGGAGAGGGAGGGAACGGUUGGGGAGAGAGAGGGGAGGGGAAUAAAAUAUGGGGUAGUUGGUAUAGAGUAUGAAAUAUUGAGUAACAUGGGUGCGGGAGAAAUUGGUAUAGGGAGAAUCUUGAUGACUAGGAUAAAAUAUUCUAUUUAGAUGAUGAAAAUAAAGUAUGACGAGUGUGGACAAUAACUGCAGAAGUGAGAGCAUAGUUGAAGUACAUGUCCUUUUAACGGGCUGGCACGGUGGCACCCAACGGAACGGGCCGGGGCUUUCUCGUCUGGUACGGAGCCAGCUGUACCCAACAAAGGCAACAAAUCUUCUCCCGUUUCGUUUCCCCUCCCAUCCUCUCCCCGGCGGCGCCGCGGCGGCGACGAAAGAGCGCGCGCCCCCUCUUCCUUCCCGUCUCCCCGGCCCUUUCGCCGCCCCCCAUCGAGCGCCGUCCGCGGACCGAGGGUGCCUCCGCGCCUAGUUCAGCCGGCGCGGAACGCGCCGCCUGCUCGCCCCACCGCGAAGGGGUUCGUCUCUCGCGGCGGCCGCCACCGCCGUCGUCCUACUCCUCGGCGCUCGUGGACGGGCGCGGGGAGGGGAUCCGUCCGGGCUUGGAUCGGCUUCUUCCCCACCUGGUAAGGAAACCCUAGCCACCUUGCUUGGUUGCUUGGGCGGAUUGCGCGCGCCCUGUUCCGCGGGAUCUUCCCUGUGCUGCGCGACCCGCGAGGGAUCAAAUCCGAGAGUUUUCCUGCUCCAGUUCGCACAAUUCGUUGCGAAUUCCUUUUCUGCGAGGAGGGGGUACGGGUAGAAGCUGUCAAAGUUUGCGAAUAAGUUGAAUUUUGCUUUGGGGGUUCAGUUCGAUCCCCACGGCUACACGUUAUGCCAGCCCCAUGUUUGGGAGGAGGUCGGGUCUAAAGCUGCCUGCUUUUUCUCUGCCGUGCUGGAUGUUACAAAUUGUUCUUGCGCUGCAGCAUUAUCUGAUAGACUUGCUCUAUGUGCUCGGAUGUUACUACUAGUUAGGUGCAUUUUAGGAAGGCUGAAAGGAUAAAGUUAUACUUCACCGCAAAAUAUGCACCAAUAAAUUCUAGUUCUUCAGUGUAGCGUGCACAAUUGUCCGUACCUGUUGAUCUGUUUUGUAGAAAAUUACUUAUUAAUUCAUCCACCCGGCAUCCACCCAAUCAUUGGUUGAUUAAAACUAUUGUUUCACACCCAUGUUUGGGAGGAGGUUGGGCAAAGCUGCGGGCUUGUUCACAAAUUGUUCUUGUGCUGCAGCAUUAUCUGAUAUCUAUGGACUUGCUCUGUGGAUUAACUGGAUCCCAUGUAUUUUUGGAUCAUUUAUUCAUUUGUAAAGCCAUAUUUGUGGUGUUUUCAAUAGUACAUAGCUAACACAGCUUACACUGAGCAAUAUCCUGCACUGUUCUGUUCCUUUGCAACCACUGUUGCCUUUCAUGCUCCAGAUCCAUGCAUCAACUUUGCCACAUCAUUCUGGUGUCUUUCUGCUUUCCUGGGUUCACCUGACAACUUAGUUUGAGUGAGACUGUUUGAAUCUUACAACUUAGUUUGAUCAAACACUAGUAAUAGAUUUGUUUUAUUGCCGAAGACGCAUUGCCCAUACGCCCAAGCAAAAUAAUGUAGAUCAAUUAUACGAUUGAAAUAUAGAAAGUUAGGUCCUUUGGGUUUUUCUUUACUCUAAAGAACUUUCCUGUUUCAUCAUAAGUAUAACUCUGGAGCAAUAUGCCAAUAACUUAUUUGCUUAUUGCCUUUGAUGUUAUCUUAUUUUUCUAUCUACUCAAUAUUUCAUUUCUGGACAGUCAGUUGUUGAACUUGGAGUUAGACAAUGGAUCUGGAGACAGAGAAUCGUCUUGCCUCUUUACUACUUGAAGAGGCACGUAGAUUACAGGCUGAGGCUGACAGGGAAGGUGUUCAUGCAUAUCUGCGAAAGCCUAAUGUAAGGCAUCGCCCAAACUCACGGUUCCUCACAGCCACAGUUCGUGGAGUUCAGCAAGGUUAGGAUUGUGCUCCUUUGAAUUGCCCUGGUGUUAGUUUCUUGAAUGAUGAACCUGCAUCAAAUCUUUUGUGCAUCUGAAUUGAAAUACGCUGUUGUCCUGCAGCAAACCGUGUUGUGGAGGUCAAUGAAAUGUGGCAUGCUAGGGAAAAGGAACUGGAGUUGGAGUCAAAGAUGAAAGGCAGAAGUAAAGAUCGUGAUGAUUAUAGAGGCGAGAAGCGGAAAAGUGAAUUGAGAAACCAUAGCUCUAGCUCAAGGGUUCAACAAGAAGGGACUACUUAUAACAUUUCUUACUCAGACCAGGAGGAUGGUCUCAGGGAUGAUGAAAUUGAAAGAUUUCUUCAUUCUAGGUCAGUUUGAAUAUUCAUUAUUUUCUUUAAUGCCAUAAAUAUCCAUUAUUUUUUUAUGUAACACCUGCAUAUAACAAUAUUAUUUUACUCGUGAUCUUAUAUGAAUAACCACACAAUCUGUGUACACCUUCAAUAGUACUCCCUUUGUCCGUCAAUCUAAGGUGUUUUUUGUUUUGAAAAAGUUAAACUUUUGUAGAUUUUGGCCAACAACUUAGUUAGAUUAUAUGUAUGUUCGAAAUACUACAUUUGUAUCAAUAGAUCAGUAUUCGAAAUACUUUUAGGAUGAUGUUGAUUUUGUAGCAAUUGACAAUAUAAUGUAAGAGAAAUCAAUGAUCGAAAUCUACUUUUAAAGACUUCCUUGAGUCCUCGUAAAAUACGCCUUACAUUGAUGGAUGGUGGGAGUACCACAUUAUCUAUGCGUGGUAAAGAAUAAAAAACCACAUUAUUCUAUUGAUGAUGGCUUGUAUCCUAUAAUGUGGUAUAUUUAAAUAUGCUGUUUACCGUUCUAUCUUUUACCUCUUUCCUUGUGUUUCCUAUCAGCAAUUUUGUUGGUAACAUGUGUAUUCUUGCUAUUUUGUUAGGGUGAAGCGAGGGCGUGGGGCCAUUGGUUCUCGGAUGGAUGAGCCUGGUCCAUACCUUGAUUCGUCGUCUCGUGGUCAUGAUAUUGGACCUAGUGCUGAUAUACGUAUGGAAGAAAAAUGGGAACGUCGAGUACAAGGCCCAGAGAAGCCUUCAUUUUUGAGAUCCAAGUCUCCUGACGAUCAUUGGUGUAAGGAAAUGUUGGAUGGAAGGGGAUCGAGCUCUGAACCACAGAGCAAGAAGGAAAAGAAAAGGAAGUCUGGGAAAAAAGAGAAGCGAGAUAAAAAGAAAGAAAAGGAUGCGAAGAAGUCCAAGCAUCGCCAUCACAAAAGCCGAAGAAGGGAGUGAACGAGUGAUGUUCUGUUAGCGGGCAGAAAAAUGUACACAACAGUUCUGCCCCAAAAGUAACAGCUAGCUGAUAGUUUGCUGUAACUUGAAGCCUGUACUGUAUAGGAAACAUGACAUCGUGUAGAAUGGAUUACGUGUUCUUAUAAUACUGUGUUGUUGCGGUUUUAAUAUCUGAAAGAACUGUCUUGUUAUUUUUUCUUUUCCAUGUUGCAUGUUAACAUCUCCACAUUCGAAGCAAACUCUGAUUGUCAUUUCAAUUCACCCAUAACAGGGAAUUAGCAAUGUCAAAAGCACAAGCAAAUCGGUAAGAAAGACUGUCAACAAGGCAGUGUCUGGGCUGGAUUUAACAACCUCCUUUGCCUUCGUCUCCUUUCCUGUUUGCUUUGCCCACUCCCCAACUUCUUAGCAUUCCAUUCCACAAGAACUUUUUUGGGCAGGUAAGCAGUUUAAGAUUCAACACAGUUGCUGUUCAUUAUAACAGCUACUACGUAGUAUGAAUGCUUGACACAAGACAGAUGACCUUAGACUUCUCUUUUUUCUUCUGGUGUAGGUGCAUGAGAUGGUGAGGCUAAAGGAGGAGGAGGUUUGUGCAGAGCCAGUUUCUGAUAGACAUCCCGCAUCUCUGGCCUAAACUGAGGAGAAGUUUGCAGGCAAGCAAAUGCCACUUCCACAAGAACAGCAACUUCUUUCUUCUCCACAACUGUUGGUGUUAAUGGGCGCUUGUCCAACAUAUCCUCCAUCGCAAGCUCUUGAUGCUGUCCUGUGGCAGCAAGGGACUGCAGCUCCAUGGGGUAUCUCCCCAUAACAAUCUCCAGCACAACUACACCAAAGCUGUAGACAUCGCAUUUUGUUGUCACCACUGAUGUGUAAGAAAGCUCUGCAUCAAAAUAAAAAAUCUGAAUCAAUAAUAUAAUCAAACAUCAAACCAAACUGCAUUAUAUUUGAUAUUUUCAAAUGGUAACAAGAAUAUAUUUACUCUGUAGAAGAAACUAACUGAGCACAUACCGGGUGCUAUAUAACCAUAUGUUCCUGCUAGUUCACUCCAAUUGGAUGAAUCAGGCUUUAGCAUCCUUGCUAUUCCAAAAUCUGAAACAUAAGCAUUGAAAUCUGCAUCUAGCACGAUGUUGUUACUUGUUAUAUCACGAUGGAUUAUUGGUGGGUCGCAUUCAUGGUGCAAGUAGUAGAUAGCCUGAGCCACGUCCCUUGCAACAGCAACUCGCUUCUGCCAGUCCAAGUCCUUUGCAAGUUCCUCAUUUCCCAGGAUAACAUGAAGGUUUCCUCUCUCAAUGUAAUCAUACACUAGAAAUUUGUACCUUGGAUGGGAACAAAACCCAUACAUCUUGACGAUGCUUCUAUGCCGGAUCUUUGUCAACACUUUGAUUUCACUAAGAAAUCUUUUUUCAUCGCUCAUCGCCUCUUCAGUUUGGUGAAGCCUUUUCACUGCAACCAAUCUCCCCUCUUGAAGCUGAGCUUUGUAGACAGUGCCAUACCCUCCUGAGCCAACGAUGUACCUAUCACUGAAGUUUUCUGUUGCCCUACUAAUAUCCUCAAAUGCUAGUUUCCCGUCGAAGUUCCACACUGAAAGCACAUCUCUUGUAUCUGUGGCCGUAGUUUUUUGUGGUCUUUUCCUUUUGGGAAUAAUUAUAACUAUAAUAAAAAUUAUGAUGAUAACAGCUAUGCACACUGGGAUAGAAAUAGCUAGCACGAAGCUGUGAAUUCUUCUUUUGUGAUAUUCCACUAUUGGAGCUGGAGGGCAUGUUGGCAGGCCCGAGAUAUUACCACAGAGACCUUUGUUGUGGACGAACCAUGUUAUUGAGGCAUCAAGGAAUAGUCGUCCCUCUGGAACCGGUCCUUCCAAAUUGUUGUAUGACACAUCAAGUGUUGACAAACUAAUCAUUCUACCGAAGGAGGAUGGAAUGCUUCCAUUGAACUGAUUGUGUGAGAGGUUCAGGAACUCCAACAUUCCCAAGUUCCCGAGCUGUGCUGGUAGCUCACCUGUGAGCUUGUUGCUGCUUAGAUCCAAUACAAUCUGCAGGUUCUCCAGGUUACCAAUGGCCAAUGGCAAAUAUCCACUCAAGUUGUUGUGGUCAAUCAUCAAGCACUGUAGUUUAGUACAACUGCCAAGCUCUUCUGGUAUCGACCCGCUAAACUUAUUGUGAGAUAUAUCAAGGAACUGCAAAUUUCUCAUCCGACCAAGUUCAGAAGGUAUAUGACCAGAAAAUUGGUUACGUGAUAGGUUGAGCGAGUACAUGUUGCCUAGAUUGCCUAAUUCUGGUGGUAUGUUGCCAGUUAAGUUGUUUGUGUGUAGUGAAAGUGCCACCAGGUUUACCAGGUUUGAUAACUCCAGUGGCAAGCUCCCAGAAAUCAUGUUUUCAGAAAUAAUCAUCUUUGUUAAAUUGAUGCUUAAAGCCCAUGUUUUUGACAAUUGCCCACUGAGGUUGUUUCGUCUUAAGCCUACUUCAAUAAGAUGUGGGUAUGGCCCAAGAUUUGAUAUAUCUCCCAUCAGGUGGUUGAAAGACAGGCCAAGCUGCUUCAGGCUGUUGCAUGUUUGAAGGCUCUUAGGAAUGGUGCCCGUGAACAAGUUGUCACCAACGUUGAACCAUUGGAGUUUCCCUCCUUUGCAGAAACCAGAGGGCAACUCCCCCGUGAGAGAGUUAUUUGAUAGAUAGAGCGUAACUAAGUGUGUAAGAUUUGCUAAUUCCCGAGGCAGAGGACCUGACAGCAUGUUGCCAAAGAGUGUUAGCGUUGUGAUGCUUGUGAGGUUCGCAAGAGUUGCAGGAAUUGAACCUGAGAGCUGGUUCAAGGAUAGAUGCACCGUGUUGAUACCCACUAAAGUGCCAAGCUCUUCUGGGAUUGAGCCCACAAACUGGUUGUCAAAAAGGUCAAGGUUGAAUAGGUUAGUAAGGUUACCCAAGCUGGAAGGAACGGGGCCACUCAUUUGGUUCCCAAAUAAAACUAGAGUGCUCAGAUUGAGCAGCAACCCUAUCUCUUGGGGAAGGAAUCCACUGAUCUCAUUGUUAAGGAGAUAAACUGAGUUUAGCUCUGUGAGAUUCGCCAAGGAGACUGGGAUUCCACCACUCAAUCGGUUAUCCGAAAGGUCAAGCCAAAACAAGUUGAUGAGAUUGCCUACAGAAUAUGGUAUGAAACCUGAUAGAUGGUUGCUGCUAAGGAUCAACAUACUUAGUCUGGUCAAGUUCCCUAGGUUUUCUGGUAUUUGGCCAGUUAGCGAGUUGACACUGAGAUCAAGGUAGGAGAGUGCAUUCAGGGAGGUGACAGACGGUGGGAUUUCUCCAUGAAGGCUGUUGAAGCUGAGAUCGAUGUAUGUGAGGAAUGGGAGUGCUGAGAAGUUGAGCUCACCAAUCUGGCCAUUGAUGCUGGAGUUCUUCAGGGAGAUUCUGGUCACCACCAGCGAUUUGCGGUUGCCACGGUGCACCGUGCUGCACGCGAUGCCCGUCCAGUUGCUGCUGCAUGGGCUCAUUCCCUGCCGCCAUGAGUCCAGUGCCACCGAGCUUCGCAGGGUGGAUUUCCACUGAAAGAGAGCUUCUUCCUGGGAUCGCAGAGACACGCCUCCAUGAUGCGUCACCGCAUCAGCGUGCAGGUAGAGGCAACCUACCAGGAACAAGGUAAAAACUAGCGCUAGUGUGGGUUGCACCUUUGAGUGGAAAGUUUCCAUGAUUUCUUCUUUGUUUUCUAGGUACGUAGAACGAGAGAUGGUCGCUUUGUCGAAUUGGAAUUGGAGGCUAUACAUGGUGUGCUGCGCGUAUAUGUAGCGACAUCUGAUAACAGUGGCCUGGACAUGUAUAUUACACUGAAGGAAAAGCAAAGGACUUACAAGUAUUGAAUUCAUUCAAGUUGGCAUUUGGCUCCAUUCAACAGUGCAUACUAGUCGUUUCCUCUUGAACUGGAAGCUUCAUUUUUCCUUCACGCCAGCCAACUAAUAUAAAGUACUUCGAUUCUGACCUAAAUGCGCUGAAAUGUAUGAAAAAGCACUCAGGUCCCUAUCUUUCAUUGUGUGGACAGCCUAGCAUGCAUAGACUAUCCCUGCGGUCACGAAAGUGUCCUUGUUUUGAGAAAUAAUGCAGUUAAUAGAAAAAUGAAACUUUAGCCAUAUCGACAUCAUAUCUUUUUUCAAAAUUAGGAUUGGACAUGUGGAAACCAUUUGAGUGUAUAGAAUUUAUCUUGAAAAGCAAUUUUAUAAUUUUACGAUUUUAAUUUUACGUACGUAAAAAUUAAUUCCUCCCUUUACCACAAAUCUUGAUAGAGAAAGGAAGCAUAUAGAGAUUGAUCAACAAGAGCUAGAAGACUUCAAUAGUGCCGGGUCAAGCAUGCUUGACAGCGAUAACCUCAUUCCAAGUUAAUGCGGUAGCUGACAAGAAGACUUGACCACAUGGGAUAUAUCAAGUCAUUAUAAGCAUGCACGGGUGCUUUCAGUCCAACUUGUUUCCUAGUAGCAUGCUAGGUGGGGAAAUAAUAAUUGGACAAUCGAAAGACUCUGCUGCCUGCUUGAUGGACAACAACUGCUGGACUCUCAGUCUGCCGGUCGUCACAACAUGUACAGUCCAGCACAUCGAUCAGCACGGUCGGAUUACAGGGCCAUUCAUAAGCAAAAUUUCCAAUCAACAGCCUGAUAUUAUCAUGCAUUUUUUUUUGUUUUUAUGAAGUAGUAGAGCUCGCAAUCAUGGGUAUUUUUGUGCUAUCUCAGGUAGAACGAAGGAGAUUUGGUAUUGCAAUAACAACAACAUUUAUUGGUGUUUUGGACAAAUUACAUAGGCCGACAAAUCAUCACGGAAGUCGUUCCUAGUGGGAGCCCGAUCUCAGCUGCUGAAGCGACGUCAUUCUACUGACCGGGCAUGUUUUAACUUGCAACUGUUAUGCUUUGGAGUUCACACCGUGGUAAAAAAAAAAGGAAAAAAAAGUUGUAUUUUCACCCUCCAACUAUCAGCCUGAUUUCCAACCUACAGAAGGAGCAUCCAAUUAUCAAAAUCGGACAUAAAGGACCAUCCAAUUGGCAAAUUUUGCCCUUUUUAGUUUCAAGGGUGGUUCUGCAUUUCCUAGAAAUUUUAAAAUUUAGAUUUAAUUAAAACAUCAUAAUUAAUUCAUUUCAAAAUCAAAAAAAUAUGAAAUUGUUACUAAAUUUUUUUUCUAAAAACAUAGCCUGUGUGUUUGUACCCUAUUUGAAGUCGUUUACAUUUUAUUUGUUACUAUUCCUAGUAUUUUAUUUUAUUGAUCAUAAUAAAACACAAGGAACAUGAACAAAUAAGUUCAAAUAACACCAAAUAGGCCACCAACACAUAUGUUACAUUUUCAGAAAUUUUUUUGGCACAAAUUUGAUAUUUUUCCUGAUUUCAAAUGCAUUAGUUAUGAGUUUCUUUUAUUAAACCUAAACUUUUUCAAUUCAUAGGAUGGCCACCCAUAAAAUCACCCAAAGGGCUAAAGGGUCAAAUUUGUUCAGUUUUGAUAGUUGGAUGGUCAUCCAUGACCAGUUCUGUAGAUUGAAAAUCAGACUUUUGUGAUAGUUGGAGGGUGAAAAUAGAACUUUCUCUUAAAAAAUAAGACUUUGCCACACUGUGCACGUACGUGACACAAAGGUGCGAAAGAAUUGUUGAUAAAGAAAGAAAGCGGAUAGAUCAACUAGAAGACUAAUAAAGCAGUGCCGGAUCUAGCAUACAUGACAACAAUGUCCUUUGAUGUUAACACGGUGGCUGACAAGGAGACUUGACUAUUUUGAAACCAGAGUCAUUAUAUAGUCUGUGGCCAAAUCUCGCUCUCUCUGGUAGAAGCACUGCAGCAGCAUUGGAUCAUGAUCAAGAAGAGGAGCUAGGGAUUUGGCUGGGUCGAUUUUGGGUCGGUUGUCAGUGGAACUGGGCUUUAGCAUGUGCUAAGUAGGCCCACCUCAUCAGUUCCCUGAGGUAAAAAAAAAAGAUGUUUCAAACCGGUGUCAUUUUGACGGAAAACUAGCAGCACGGGUAGAGAAGGGAUUGAAAAAUUCAAAUAGUAGCAUAUAAUGGAAGCGAAGGAUUUUUUUUUAGAGAGCAACGCUUAACGCCGACCUGAACAUUUGACUGAGACAGGCAAGUUUGGCAUACAAGAUUUGUGGAAAGGGUGGUACCAAAGAAAAGAUAUAAAGUGCUUCCACCAUAUAUGAAGUUGUAUCGUUAUUUCACUUUGGUAUAACAAGUUGCAAACAUUGCACCCACCAUACACUAAAUUGUCUAUUGCGUGCAUAUACAGUCCACUGUACACCAGUAGUGCGUAUUCUGCAGACAAGGCACAUUGACGAGGACAUGGAAGGGUCUAGGCGCUUUCUAGAAGAACGUGAGGGGCAAAAACACAAAAUCCACAUUCAGAUUGUAAGUGCACCGGCAAAACAAAAAAACUGCAGCAUAAAUUCCAUUUUCAUCAUAUUGUCGCUAAAGUAUUCGUGAGCUGAUACUACUAUGUAGAAUGCCAUGGCAUUUUGAGAGGACUCAAAUGUACAGCAUCCAAAGUGAGACAUAUUGAUAAGAAAUAUGAAAAAUUUAGUACGUCUUGCAUUGUCAAAUGUAGUGACAUUCACAACACCAAAUAUAGUCCUAAAAUAAAGUGAUUUUUUGUUUCUCCUUUCUUUAUUUAUAAAGUGAUUUUUUGUUUCUCCUUUCUUUAUUUUAUUUAAGAUUGCUGGAUCCUAUACUGGUUUUAUACGGAACCUGGAAAAGGUAUUAUCUUCCCAAGACCAUACCUAUUCCCUAUCCCAAAUGUUAUGCCUCCACCUCAGUAUACGAUGCAGUAAAAAUUUCGUAGGCGCCAUUUUCAACCGUAUGUCACUAUAUUCCGCAAGUUAAUGUAUGGUAUUGUCAUAUUUGCAAUUUGUUGGAUCAAAAUGAAACAACGAUGCAACUUCAUGUACGGUGAAUGCACUUUACUGAAAAAUCUAUUGCGUAUAUUACAUUUACAAUUGGAUCUCCUUCCCCCAAUUCCAAGGAUAUAGCUUUACUGAGUCAAGGAGGAAGCACGGUGGAGCCCGCAAUGUUGAGUUUCCACUCGCCCGGAGGUUUUCACCCUCGCGGUCGAUCAGCGUCACGACAAGCACAUGGCAGGUCCCACCAUUUCAUUCUCUUUCCACCUUCUGCAGUCCUCAACCGUAUGCAUAUGAUGGGCCCUGCAACCUUAUCUAAUCUUUUCCUCUCCCGUUCACUUUUCUUUUACCAGCUCUCUCUCCUCUCCUCAAGCCGAAUCAGUCGUCAGGCCCUGGAUUUCAAAAAGUUCUCUAAAUUUUUCUUCAAAAUUUUCCCCCAAAUGUUUUUCUAUGAACUUUUUGUCGUAUAAUUCUAUCUGGUCGCCCUUAAAUUCGACUGCCCCGGUGGAGCCAGAGCACUACCACCAGAUCAGAGGCAGCAAAGGGCAUGUAAGGGAAUGCUAUAGUUUUCUACUGCACAUAAAGAAUUUAUAAAAAAAAAUCAAAGGAAUUCACUAGUAGGUGACCACCAUGUAUGUUACUAUCAAAAUUCUCCAAGCGAAAAGAUCAGCUGCUGCCUGGAUUGCUUGCAACCACAUGGUCCACAUACACAUGUGGCGUAGUGCCUUCUCCGAUCCACUGGGCUGCUGCUAGCAAGCCUGCACACUGGCCGGCCGGGUGGUCAAAGUUGGCGUGCGUGGCUUGUCGGUCGUCACCCGUGGUCAUCUGGCACAGCUCCUGUGGUUCUCGUCACUCACCGCAGAAGCUUCGUCCAGUACGUGGAAGCUACUGAGACAAACAAACGCGCCUACUUAUCUGCCUGAGCUCUGUAUCGGUUGCCAUGGCGGCGACGGCGAGCAUAGGCGGCGGCAGAAGGCUGGCGUUGGCGGCCACGCUGCUCUGCGCCGCCGCGGCCAUGGCCGCGGCACAGAAGGCAUCCGGCGUGCGCGUCACCUACGAUUGGACGUCAUCUUACCGCCCGCAGGAGACCAACUGGGACCUCAAGAGCUCCAGCGUGUACUGCGCCACCGCCACAUUUGACGUCAUGCCACUGUCAUGGCGCAUGAAGUACGGUUGGACGUCCUUCUGCGGACACGUCGAACCCGGCGGGGACAUCUGAGGCGUGUUCUAAAUUUUGAUCUUUUUUAGGUGCACUGAUCGGUGUCCUGCACACAGUAAAUAAAAAAUAAAAGAUAUAUCCAUUCCAUGCUAUGCUGCAGGUGCUGGGACGGGUAAAAUCACAGUGAGGAUCGUGGACCGGUUGCUCCAACGGCGGCCUGGACCUGGAAUACGACACCUCGUUCAGCAAGAUCGACUCCGACGGCCAGGGCGUGAACAACGGCCACCUCACCGUAAGCUACCAGUUCGUCGACUGCCAUGAUGAUGAUUUGCCUCCGCCAGCGACGCCGGCCAUUGUGACACCAGCGCCGCAUGUUGUACCGCCGCCUAGCUAGGAACAUAAGGCUGCACAAUUUCAUUGUACGAUUAUCAAAACUGAGAAUCAGGUAAUUGUGCUAGCAGAGUGUUAUGGGGAUGAAACUUCUUUCACAUAUGAUAAAACUUUUCUCAUAAAUGAUCUUGCUAAAUCAGCAAAAUUACGAACGUGACAUGAAAUUUAAUAUCCAUUAAAAUUUUUAUGAAACUUCAUUGAAAAUGGCGUAACUACAUGCGUAUCAUUCGUACAUCCCCAGCUGCGUUUGUGUGAGCGUACUCGAAUACUUCCGGCGCCGCAAAUAUAAGAAUUUCUAGCAAUUCUAGGAUAACGCAAAAAAAAAAAGAGAAAGUCCAUUCUGCCCAUCAUUAAACAACAUGGAUAGACGGAUAAAAUAUUAAUGAAUUUUUAAUAACUAAAAGACCAGCUCGAGCUAUUCGAUUGCGCAUUGUGAGUCACAAGUCAAACGUUUUCACGCGAAAUAUGAAGGAUCUUCCUUUAUUAGCAUCCCACCUAUACUUCAUUACUAAUAGCACUAGCAGUUAGUUUAAGUACCCUUAUUUAAAACAUCGGUCAAUUAUCUACGCAUCUAAAUGACUACUUCCUCCAGCCCAAAUUAUAAGUCGUUUUGACUUUAUUAGAUUCAUAGACUUUAUUAUGCACUUAGAUAUACCCCAUAUCUAGAUGCAUGAUAAUAUCUAUGCAUCUAAAAAAGCCAAAACGAACUAUAAUUUGGAACGGAGGGAGUAUAAGAAAAUCAACUAAAAGUUGUGGUCCGAAUAGCCUCAUUGUUUAAUGUAAAGUUUGUCUCCAUCCCGAGCCUUAUAGAAAAAUUAUGAAUUUAUCAAAUAAGUUAAAAAUCAAAAUACAAAUGCAUCAUGCCAGCUCAAAGUGCCAACAUGGAGAGAUACAGAUAGUAACUGAGGUAUCGAUGCUUGUGGAUAACACUAGUAGAACUUAUGUGCUACUAACUCGACUUAUCAGUAUCUGUUCAAAUUUUAACCGACAUGCCACACCUCACACAGUCAGAUUGCUUAAUGAAGUCCUCAUGAGAAGCUGGCCAUCCACAAUAAUUUUUUGUAAUUACAUUAUUCAUAUCAACAUACCCUAAUAAUAUAUGUGAAAUUUUUGUUUAUAUAUCAUUUUGGGGGCAUACAGGCAUAGUUUUGAUCACCGCCUUGGUUGUUCCACUACUUGUAUCCUUUUUGUGCUUGGUAUUUUAUCUUCGAUUCAGAAAUCACCAAAAAGGUCAGCUAUCUAUAUGCAACAACUACUCUAGUCUGUUUGGUAGAUCUCCAUCUGAUUCUGAUUUUCUAUGGGAGCUGAUUCUCCGAGAGAAGUGAUUCUGCGGCUGAAAGUGAUUCUCUUUGAUUCUCUAACGUAAACUCUUAAAAUCAGGAUAGAGAAUCACUUCACAGAAUCAAGAGAAGCUACUUUUUUCAGCUCCUAACCUCUUAGUUCAUUUUAGAGAAUCACUUCUCUCUGAAAAACUGUUUAGCAGAUCUUCUGCUAGAUUCAGCAGAGAAUCAGCUCUAUGUGCUCUACCAAACGCACCCUGAAUACUCACCUCUAUCAAGAGUUCGAGACAUUAGGCUUUAACUUUUAAGAUGCUAUAUGCUUGAAUGUAGGUAAAGGUACAAAGGACAAGACAAAGAUUAACGUUCAGGACAAUGAAGCACCGGUUUGGGGAAUAGAAGGAAGAAGUACAGAAUUCACGAUUAUGAAUUUUCGCAAAUAUUACAGGCUACGUGUAACUUUUCAGAAGAAAACAAACUUGGACAAGGAGGUUUUGGUCCAGUCUACAAGGUAAGAUAAAGAUAACGCACUUGGACAGCCAUAAAUAAAUAAAGAUAAAGUUUGGGCUGGAGGGAGUUUUUCCCAAUGAUUGCAAGUCAGCAAGUGUAAGAUGUUUCUUGUGAAGUUAAAAAAAUCUUACUAGAAGUUGCAUUCUGGAAAUCCCUUAGAUGUCAUGAAAGUAACUAUUUUUUUCUAAUUUUCUUUGUUAGAAGAUAACUGAAAUCAAUUGAAUAGCAAACGAUUAGUACUAAUCAAAACCUCAGUUGAAUUCCUCUCUAGGGUCAAUUUCCAGAUGGGUUGGAGAUAGCAGUUAAGAGGCUUGCUCCACAUUCAGGGCAAGGUUUCACAGAAUUCAAAAGUGAAAUCCAGCUCGUAGCCAAGCUCCAACACACAAAUCUGGUCAGGCUUUUGAGAUUCUGCUCCCAGGGAGAGGAGAAAAUACUCAUCUAUGAAUAUUUGCCAAAUAAAAGCUUGGACUUCUUUAUUUUUGGUACCACUUUUAACGCAAAAACAGGGUACAGGUUCAGGGUUCCAAAGAUGAUUUCUCUAAUAUAUCUACAUUUAAAUGCUUUGUAGAUGAAACAAGGAGAGCUUUAUUAGAUUGGCCUAAACGCUUAGUGAUAAUAGAAGGAACAGCACAAGUACUCCUGUAUUUGCAUAAGCACUCUCGAAUCCAAAGAGAUCUUAAAGCAAGCAACAUUCUCUUGGACAAUGAAAUGAACCCUAAAAUUUCAGAUUUUGGGCUCGCUAAAACAUUUAGCACAAAUGAUUCUGAAGGAAACACAAGAAGGAUUGCCGGAACAUAGUAAGAUUUUCUUAUGAUCUAGGCCAUUACAAAACAUAAAAAUACAACAAUCUGACCAAGAAAUUUGCUUUACACAUUCGUUCAGUGGCUAUAUGUCUCCUGAGUACAUUUCAGAGGGCAUCUCUGUUGGAAUUAUAGGCAUUUUACGAUUUAUUUUAAUCCGAAAUAUAAAAUAAAACAUGACACAAACAAUAGUAUAAGUAGGAGCAUGAACAUUUGUGUUUAUAACAAUGAACAUAAAGCAUGCAAUGGAAAUAACAGAAAACAAGUAAUGAACAAAAAGUUCAUGAGAAAGUACCCUACAGCGGGGCUAGUGCUGUGGCACCAGAUGCGUUGUUAGUCGACAUUUCGAGCCUAUUUGGUGUAGUCGAUCAAAGUCGAUGCCGUGCAGAUGUUCGCCGUGCAGUUGCCCCUCCAGGAAGAAGAGGUGCGCAGCGAGCAGUCGCGCAGAUGCGGCCCCUAAAACUUGAUCGCCCUUAUACUCCUCGGGUGCAGAGUCUCAGGGAAGGGUGCAGUUUCAAAGAGCUGCUCUUCCGGUGUGUUAUGUGCACACAGAACGUCGGAACGGGGACAACAAAAAGAUAGCACAGCAGUAGCUGAAAGUUCGGUGGUUGGUAUGUUGAGGACAACCAGACAUCUUUAUUCCCAAAGCCGGGUUCAAUAAUUUCUAAGAAAAUCGCCAGAACGCAUGCAUCUCGUACCCCUUAUUAUUCGGCUCUCACAAUUCACACAACGGCAACAUUUAUUCAUUCGAUCAAGCUAAGCACCGCAUCACAGAGCAUGCACUGCAUUACUGCGGCAGUAGUCUAACCGCUCGUUGUUCCUUCGGCGCCGAGCGCGUAGCAGAAGGGCCUGCCGUGGAUGGUCACCAGGUUGCACUCCGCCUCCGACACGAGCGUCGCGGCGAGGUCGAGCUGCGCGGCCCAGGAGCACGACGGCGACGCCGCCACGCCGCCGGCGGCUGGCAUGCCGUCCAUCAUUAUUCUCAGCGCGCCGCACCGGCAGUAGGGCACGAUGUCCUUCAGCUCCCUGCAGCACCUCGCCCUGAUCGCCGGCAGGGGGACGAAGGGGCCGCGGCCGGGGCCGCAGGUCCGGCGGACAAGGUAUGUGCGGCAGCUUUGGAGCGGGUUGAGAGGGAUGACCAGCCCGGGCUCGCACCAGUUCGUGCUGGCGGAGGCGGCGGCGAGGGCGGAGAGAAGAACGGCGGCCGAGAGGAGGAUGACAUAGCUGGAGGAGCUAAUAGACGCCAUUGUUGCUAGCUUCAACUUCUUGGCGCAGGGAUGGAGCAGCAUGGCUAGAUGAUAAGGACUGUAAAGGUAGGAGCAAGCUGGCAAUUGACAUACUAAUUAUUUGCGUACUUUUUUUUCGAAAUGGAGUCUUGUGGAACUGAAAUUAGAAUGACACCAUGUUUGUGUGAUGAAAUAAUGGAGCUUUAAUCUGUUUGUUGGAACAGAGUUUGGGAUGUCCUGCAACUAGUGUUUUUUUUUCUGCCGUCAUGAGGAAAACUUUACAGCUAUACUGGAUUGGAGUUUAGCAACUUCACUUUAUUUCAUCAUCAUUUUUGUAAUCAUCUAUAGCUGGUGUGCGAAAUCACGCACUGAUGAUGUACGUGAUCGACACUCAGUGUGAACUUUCUGUUUGACUUACACGUUCUACACAACACGAUAAUGAUUUAGCAAUUACCGCGGCGUUCGUGCAAUCAAUCGUUGCCUUCCUUUCCUGAUUCUUUCCUAAACGAAAGUUUUGCAAUCAAUCGUUUCCUGAUCCUUUCCUUGCUUGCAUGACGUGAUAAUUGCCAUGCAUCAUGCCUAAACGAAAGCUCUGGUGCUGCUGCAGGCCCAGCAAUCCUUUUUAGCCGUCCCAACGCUGCCCUCUGCCUUUUUGUCCAUGGGAUCGUCUUCCCUUGCCGCUUGUGCAACGGGGCCGGUAGCCAGCCAUCGCCUUACGUGCCGCCAGCCCCAGUCGAUAGCAUGGUUGCAUGUUGGGAAAAGAGAGACGGCGGGCCGUUGCAUCGAUCGACGAGUUCGCCUUAUUCUGGUGUGAUUUGCUAGGCCGCUGCGUCGCCAUAUGCCCUCUACGAAGCACAUCUGGUUCUCUCUACAAUAUUGUCGCGCCCGGGUAGAGGAGAUCGUAAUCGGUAUCGUUGGCAUGACGACGUCUGUCUAACCCUAGCAACUGCACAGGAACGACGAGGAGCAAGCGGCCUAGGCGUUCGCUGUGCCCAUCUGUAGACAGGUAAUCCCACAUCCGUUGCCCAUCCAUCCAUCCAUCUCUUUGCACGCUGCCUUGUCUGCUUGUAUGGCAUGGACUCCCUGACGAUGCCCGCAGGGAAUAAUCUGCCCGGCUACUGACGAUGCACGCAGGGAUCAGGAUGAGAGCGUUCUCGUCACUUUGGCAGGUUAUUAGGAGAUCGGCGUCUACGGAGGGAACCACCUGAAGCGGCACAUCGAGGGCGAGAACAACAUCUGCUACAGGUGCACAUCCGAAGAUGUUUUUCUUGGUAAGUAAACACAUCACGUCUUGCCCGUUGCUGCCUUUAUAUGUGUCUAUUUCGUUAGUUGCUUUUCUUUGAUCGUAAUUGGCUUAAAUUUGUGGUCUAAACAGUAGAGAUGCAUGCAUAUGUAUUUGGUAGUCAUGAAUGUUCCGAUGGAUGAUUUAUGUUGUACACUUAUAUUUCGGGUAUCUCCAAUAAUGCAUGCUGCUAGUACUAACUUUCCUUAGCUAUCUCAAAUAAUUAUGCCUAUUUCGGCUCUUCUAUUGUGGUCGUCGAUGCAUCUGCUUGAGCUUCGCUAUGAUCAUUAACAAAGCACGGGGUCAAACAAUAACAAAUGUAGGUAUCUACCUUCCCGAGGCUGUUUUUUCUCAUGGGCAACUAUAUGUAGCGCUAUCUAGAGGUGUUUCUCGUGAGACAACAUGGGUUCUCGCUGAAAAAACAAAGAUACGGAUCCCAUUAGAAAGGGAACAAAGAAUAUUGUCUACAUGGAUUGUUAGUUUUAUAGAUUAUAAUUUAUAUUAUUAUGAUAUAUAUGUAUAGAUGCAUUGAUAUCUAUAUUACCGUGAGCUUUCUUGUAACCCUAUAUAUUGUUCCGGCGGCUUCAAUAUGCUUCAAGAUUGUGGACGGCUUCUGGUACAUGAAGAGUCUAGGAAACACAGGAGACAAUUUAGAUUGGAUACAUAUCUCUGUAGACGGUUUCUACGCGUGUCAGGGGACCACUAUGGGAAAUAGGAAAGAUGUUGAGUGCCAGGGGCACUCGGCGAAGCCCCAAAAACACUCGGCAAAGCGUUUGACACUCGGCAAACGACACACGGCAAAAAUCUUGACAGCAAACACUGGUUCGCCGACUGUUUUGUGUCGGGCACUCGGCAAAGACAUUGCCGAGUGCCCAGAAAACACUCGGCGAACAAUUAUUGAAAAAAAUAAAAAAAAACAUGUUCCAAACCAUCCGCCGCCGCCACCUGCUCCUGCUCCGCCGCCGCCGCCGCCAGCCACCGCCACUGCUUCCCGCCGCCACGCCAUGAAGCAGAUCCGGUGGAGGGGCGUCGGGCGGCGGCGGAUCCGGGGCCGGGGGCGGCGGGGCCGGGGGCGCCGGGCGGCGGGGGGCUCCGGGCGGCGCUGGCGGCGGGGCCGGGGGAAGGUGUGGCGGUAGGGCCGGAGGAGAGGAGAGGGGAGGGGGCCCGCUGGAUCCGGCCUCGAGGCGCGCGUGCGGCGGCGGCGGCGGCGGCAGGAGGCGUGCGGCGGCGGCGGCGGCAGGAGGCAUGCAGGAGGCAGGAGGCAGGAGGGGAAGAGGCUAGCAGGGGAAGAGAGGAGAGUGGGGGGAGGGGGCCGGGCGGGGGGGGGGGGGGGGUGUUUUAAUUUGUUGUAGGCCGUCUGUUUGCCGAGUGUCCUACGUGGACACUCGGUAAACGGUUGAUUUGCCGAGUGUCCACCAUAGGACACUCGGCAAAUGUUUUUUGAAAAAAAUUUAAAAAAUAUCCAACAGUUUCAAAAAAAAACAAAUUUUCACACGAACCAAUAUAGGUUCUCUACUGACUAUACAAAACGUUUUGUAGUCAAACCGAACUCGACCGUCACUUCGACUCUAAAUUUUAUCGAAUCCUUCUCAAAGUUACUAUUCUUCUUCUGAGAUGCUUCGGUUUGUAAUCAUCGUACAUGAUGAAAUGUGCAAAACCUUCUCAAUUUUUUUCCACAGCCUCCACGUAUUAUAUCAUCACAUCAUGGCAAAUCUCAUAAUUUUCAGACUUUGAUUGUUUUUUUUACAAUUUAAAAAUACUACUGCCACACGUUCAUGGUCGUGUUUCCUGAACAAGAUGUUCGAAAUUUCUUUUCAUUUCAUGGGUCAGGUCUCAAAUUGGUCCAAAUAACAUGAAUAUCAUUUUUCUACUCAUUUUAUUCCAUAAUUUGAAUCACUUGCAGUUCAAAUUUGACUUAUACCAAAAAUUCCCUUGAAAUGCAAUUAAUUAAAUAAAUAUAGCAAAUAAAUUCAAAAAUAUACCAAAUUUUAACAUGGAGUACCACAUGUUGUAUGUGGGGAGUAGAAAAAAUUUCAUGAUGAAAAGAGAAAAAAAAUUAUUUUUUUGUCGAGUGUAAAAAAAACACUAGGCAAACCCCCCUCUUUGCCGAGUGUUUUUUUUGACACUCGGCAAACCCCCUCUUUGCCGAGUGUUUUUUUGACACUCGGCAAAGAGAGGGCUUUGCCGAGUGUUUUUUAUUUGACACUCGGCAAAGCCCCGAUUUGCCGAGUGUUUUCUUAUUGCCGAGUGUUUUUAGCUUGGCACUCGGCAAAGAGCUUGUUUGCCGAGUGUCCGAGAAAAAACACUCGGCAAUAAGAAAACACUCGGCAAAUUUAAGGUUUCCCGUAGUGGACCUGUUGUAUAUGAGAGCAAAUAUUUGUGUUAUAUUUCCUAGCAAAGUUGGAAACGAGCUUCUGCUUAAUCAUUAUUGCUCAACGGCAAGGUUCCGGAUGUUUGAAAAGUUCAUAUAUUUCUAUCCUAUGCAGAUCCUCCUCGAUCCCGUGUCUGUUUACUCUUGCUUAGUUCUGUUUACUCUUGCUCAGGUAGGAUAGCAUGAUUUCUAAAAUACUAGAAUCAUGUGACAUUUAAUUUCCCACCAAAAACAAAUCUUGUCCAUCUACCAAAUUGCACCAUGACAAUUAGGAAUUGUCUUUGUAUUUAUUUCCUUAUACUCGAGCACAUGUGUUGGUGUUUGAUUUGCUUCAUGCAUGUUUAUCUUGGUUAAUAUUUCCAAACAAAAUAUACCGAGUUGUCAAUUAGGAAUGGUAUUUGUAUCCUUUUCCUUAUACCCGGCACAUAUUUCGUCAAAUCUUAAAAGGCUCUAAUAUUUCCUUUUGGUAUUAAUAAUAAUUAUUUGUCAUGUUUUAUUCAUACACAUGCUUGUGGCACGUGCACUUCCACUAGUUCCUAAUAAAGGAAGUUUUUGUUUAUUGUUCACUAGAUGAGGUGACGGCUCAUAGUCGAUUAGAGCCGAUACCAAUGAGCUUCAUGUCUCACUCUCUGUCUUAGGAGGUGAUUCAUCAACACCUCCACCCCCCCCUCCCCCCCCCCCCCCCCCCCCCCCUCCUCUCUCAUCAUCACUUGAUCCAAAUUCAUGAAUAAGCUACAUCAAACCAGCUGACACAAUUCUCCUUAAAUUUUAUUGUUCACAAUUAUUCCACUCCAUGACGCCACGCUUCAGUACGCCGACACCGCGCCGCCCCAGUGCUCCCCGGCGAGUUCGUAGCACAUGCCGCCGUCGACGGUGGGCAGGUCGCACUCCGCCUGCCUCGUCAGCCUGCGCGCGAAGCUCCUCUGCGCCUCCCUGGAGCAUCCCCGGAAGCCCUGGAGGCGGCCGGGGUUGCCGUCCAUCAUGAAGCCCAGCGCGGCGCACCGGCACCGCGACGGGACGGCGGCGAGUUCCCGGCAGCACCGCUCCUUCAGCACCGGCGACGGGUCACGGGGGCCGUAGGGCCCGCCGAGCCCGCAGGUCCGGCUCACCGCGUAGAUGCGGCAGCUCGGCACGGGCGGGACCGGGAUGGCCAUCCCGGGGGCGCACGCCGUCGGGUCGGUGGUGGCAGCGCAGGCGGCGAGGAGGGAGAGCAGGACGGCGGCCGGGAGGAGAAGACGAUGGCCGGACGCCAUUCUUGCUGCUAGUUGCUUAUUGGAUCGAUUUCCUGAUGCACUGUGUGUAUUAUACCCAACCCAAGGGUGUACUUGUACGCCUUUUUGUUUCCUGGAAUCUUAUGAAACUUGGAUUUGGAUGAAAAUUAAACCUCUGUGAUGAUGAGCUGGAGUUUCGUCGUGAGCUGCAACAGAAUUUGGGUGCAUUUUUGCAAUUAAUUGGCACCAUGGAAAACUUUGCAGCCGCUGGAGUUCGACUUUUCAUUGUCAUUUGUCCAUGAUGUAUACGUCGUUUACCUGCAAUCCAUGGCCAAGGGUACACUUCUCCUUUUUCUUUUUUCUCCCUUGAUUGAUCUCUGACUAUAAAAAGUGAACUUUGUUGGAAGAAAAUCAGGGGAUAUCUUGCAAAUGGUGUUAUUUCUAGGCUGAUCGAUGUGAAUUCUUUUUUUGGAAAAUUGAUCUGUAUUAGGUGGUUCCAUCUGUCAUUAUUAAGUAUCAUGAAAAUCAUAAAUUUCUGGUUCUUUCAUCAUGCAUGGAAGCCCUUGUGUGACCUUGCUACCUAUACUUAGGAUGGAAGAUGAAAGAUUAAGAUUGGAGAAAUCGAAAAUACUACUCCAACAAAAGAGUAAAUAUUAAUGAGAAAUCAGAAACAAUUGCCAAAACUUGUCUUUUGUAUACGUACUUGCAGGCUGCUCAUAGAUUUGAACAUUAUGGUAAGCACGGUAUUUUUCUAGUAACAAUCCACUUUACUAGCACAGUAGCACUAUGUUUUUCUCCUAAUACUCCACUUUAUUGAUGCAAAAUUUUAUUUAAUUUUACAUACAUGCAUUAGAAAUAUAUCAACGGAACAAUGAACUUUCACUGUCAGAACUAACAUGUCAAAAUAAUUUCUUCAAUAAUCAAAACUAGUUGAACUCAUAUCAGAUGGAAAAUUUAAAAAAACAUACUUCAUUACCAUUUUAUGUAAUAUGUGAAAAGGUACAAUUUACAAGUGUGACAUCGAGCACUGUAAAAUUUUUUGAUGAACCAUAGAAUUUUACUAUCAAAACAAUUCAAUGCACACCACUAAACAUGUUCCAUAUUCUACAGGAACCAUUGAUUAUGUGAUCACGAGGCCAUUCAAAUACAGUAUCAAAAGCUAUUGGAAUGUGCAGCAAAACGCGCAAGAGGGGGGAUAAAAAUACCGAAAGAAGCAAAAAUGAAGAGAACGAAAGUAGACACUCCAGAAAAAAAAAAGGCAUACCUUAAGAAAUUGGAGCGCAGUUUUAAAAGAAUUUGGCCCAUAAGAACAUUGCCGACAAUAAUAAGUCCAUUAAGGAGACCAACCAUAUGGGCCAUGUUGCAGACAGCACAACACGAAAGAAAAAAAAAUCUUCUCCAAGAUUGAGCCGCUGGAAAUGUCUUCCUCUCCGCAGCGCGAAUCGAGCUGUAGGCAUGACUUCCAACGCGUGAACUUGCAAAGAAGGUCUCUUCCAUUUCCAUCUAUCUUGCGUGCUGGGGUGAGCUUAUUGAAGUCUUCGAGUCCAUCAGUCUCUCCUGUUCCUGAAUCUUCCUACAGUACCGUACUAUCAUAUCCCGUGACGUGCACGUCGUGCAUCAAUGAUGCAAGUACUCUCCCUGGAGGGGAACAUACAAUGUUGACCUAUGCACUACAUGUAUGAAGCAUAGCAAAAUCACAGUAGCAUGGAAUUAUCUAGCAAUAUAAAUUGACUAAUGCCCCCAUCCUAAUUUUAAUAGGACAUGAGUAGAUAAAAAAGUACAUGAGCAUCCCCAUCCAUACCGUGUUAUUUUGCAAAAAGAAUCAUAUUUGAAGGGCCAAAUUCUACAAAUGACUAGUUAAUAACAAAAGUAACCUCAUAAUUGAAGGGUCAAAUAGAUCAAUGGUACCGUAAGGAUCCUUACUCCAUGAUCUUUUCAAAUGACUGAGAGUAGUUGUUGUUCCUUUUCACAAUUUCUUGUGAGACGGCCAACAGCUUUCUAGUUUAAUAUAUAUAUUUGAACAUUAUGUUCCUCGAGAAUGAAAACAAUUAGCAACUAGGAAUUCGAACCAACAUUUCCUAAAAAUACGUUGGCCACUCGAUAAAAAAGCUCCGGGGUCAUCUAGUUCCUGAGACCAUUUUGACAUAUUCUAUGAACAAUUAAACACUGACCGUCACCAUUUUGACUAAGCUCCAAAAUGUCCUCGCAACGUAUGAGGCAAUCCAGACUCCAGUGAUCCCUUUCUUUGAUUUGCUUGGUAGCUUGAAGUAUUGAUUACGCAUACACUUCCCUGCGGCAUUUGGAAAACUCAUGCAGUUAGAUUGUUAGAAUUUUAUCGGGUGUUUGGUUUGAGAAGCCUCCUCAUCCUUGAUGAAUUGGCCCGUUAUGAGUCAAUCCAAAAAAUUUUGGUUGGAUGACUCCAGUCCCUUAUUAUUUGACACCUUACUCUUGUAACACCAUAUAAUAGUAAAAUUCUACGAAACCACUGAAUUCCAUGCAACGUAGGUAUGCAAAUCCCACAUCAAAGGGUUGUGUGAUUUGCAAUACACUGGACAAUUGUAUGAAAGAAACUAAAAAUGGGCACAUGCACAAUUUAUGGAAAAUAUCUCAAUUCUAGAAACUAACAUUUACAAAUCAGUUUCAUUGCAGGAUAAGUUGCUUCUAAUUUACCUUUUUUUCUCAGCUGUAGUUUUUCGUCAGCGAUGGUUUCUUAGACUUUGAAUAGAAGAACCUCUUGAUGCAAGUUUUGGUCAAGUAGUGCACCGAUUGACAAUGCAAAUGACAAUUUAAUGCGUAAUCACUCGUGUGACUGCACCACUGAUUGACACUUAAGGACAAAAGUUGGGCAUGCGUGACUGUUUAUACUUUAGCUACUCAUUUCACUGUUUGUCAAAUUGAUAUGGUAUUGUAAUUUAAUUUAACUUUAGACACUUAAGGACAAAAAUAAUGGAUUGUAAUUUAAUUUAACUUUUACAUGGUUGUAGUACAUACUAUGCUAUGGUAUUUAGUUGGGAGACCUUUGAAGCUUCCACUUGUUUUCUUUUUUUGCAAACUGACAUAUCUCAGUUGAUUAGGUUCUUCGCGUUGGAACCUCCACCCGAGUUCAAGUAGUCUUAAACUUAGUACAUGUGCUCGUAUGUUCUUAUAUUUAUUAUAUAAGAAUUAAUUAUGUUAUUAUCUCAGUGGUAAAUGACGCACCCGUCAACAACGAUGCAUCUACGGUGACUUCCGCUCAUCAAUCUCAAGAUCCCUCGAAGGUGCUCUGUGAUUUAUGCUUGUGUUCAUAAGGGUAGAUAUGGCAUGCACGUAUAUAAGGGCCUAGUUCUUCUGGCUGUGUUUGGCAAAAAAGAAAAAUCUUAUACAUAGUUUUUGAAGUGUUCUUUCAGAUUUCAUCGAGUGGUUGGUUUCGACGUCAUAUUCUCCCCGGCUAUAAAUAUACCCACACCCCUUGCAGCUGUUCAGGCCAUUCACUCAAACCAAUUAGACGGUGUGACCUCUCUCCCUACCUCAGAAAGAAAGCAUGGGGGCCCUGCGCAACAAGGUACAGCUCCCACUAGCACUAGUCCUCGUGAUCCUGCUCCAGCCAUGCCUCCCCUAUCUGCAGGUUGAUGCAGCUGCGCACCAUGGCGGCGUGUCUCUGCGAUCCCAGCAAGCAGCCCUCCUUCAGUGGAAGACCACCAUGGGAAGCCCCCCAGCGCUAGACUCAUGGUGGCACCAAACCAGCCCGUGCAACUGGACCGGCGUCGAGUGCGGUGCCGUGCGCCAUGGCCACCGCAGACCGCUGGUGGUGACCGUCAUCUCCCUGCCACACGCCGGCAUCGAAGGCCGCUUAAGUGAGCUCAACUUCUCCGCGCUCCCAUUCCUCGCUUACCUUGACCUCAGGUACAGCAGCCUCCAUGGAGAAAUCCCGCCGGCCAUCACGUCGCUAUCUGCACUCUCCUACCUCGAUCUCACUGGCAACUUGCUCCAUGGGUCAAUACCGUCUGAUAUCGGCAACUUGGGACGCCUCAACCAGUACCUCGGGCUCUCUUUCAACAACCUCACCGGUAGUAUUCCAGCGUCCUUUGGAAAUCUGUCUAUGCUGGUUGAUUUUUCCAUCCACCAAAACAUGAUCACUGGGUCGAUCCCAGAAGAGCUCGGGAAGCUCACCAGCCUAGAGUAUUUUGAGAUAAGUAGCACCAUGGUAACUGGCCGAAUACCUGAAAGCCUUGGCAACCUGACCAAACUGAACCUCCUCUACCUCCACAGCAACCAUCUCUCAGGCCCCAUACCACCUUCUCUAGGCAAUCUUAGGGGAUUAGGGGAUCUUCAGCUCUAUAACAACCGCUUGAGUGGCGGAAUUCCAAUAACUCUGGCAAAUCUCACUAAGCUGAACACACUUUAUCUCAAUGAGAAUGAGCUCUCAGGUUUAGUUCCACAAGAGAUAGGAAUGCUGCGCAAUCUAAGCAAAUUGGUACUCUCAACAAACCAACAAAGUGGCACCAUCCCUUCUAGCCUAGGGAACCUUACUAGGCUAAAUCUCCUUGAACUAUCCGAAAAUCAGUUUGUGGGCUCCAUCCCACGUGAGGUAGGGGACAUGUUGAAUCUCUACAUUCUCUCGAUAGAUGACACCCAGAUUUCCGGUUCAAUUCCUGCUACUUUUGGGAACCUCACGAGCUUGAGAAAGCUUUCACUGUUUGAUAACGUGCUGUCAGGUCCUCUGCCUCCAGAGUUUGCUAACCUUACUGGUCUAGUUGAGCUAAAUCUAAUGAACAACUCUCUCUCAGGGGAACUGCCCUCUGAUGUAUGCAAAGGGAUGAAUCUUCAGGAUUUCAAUGUCGCUAAUAACAUGUUCAGAGGCCCUAUUCCUCGAAGCCUGAAAACAUGUCGGAGUCUCAAGAUGCUCUUCAUAGCUUACAACCAGAUAACUGGAGAUAUAUCUGAUUUCGGACCAUACCCAUAUCUCAUUGAUGCAAACUUAGAGGCAAACAAUCUUCAUGGGCAUUUGUCGAAAGCCUGGGGCUUCAGCACUAAUUUAACCUCACUGGCAAUGGCAGAAAAUAUGAUAACUGGAAGCUUGCCAUCUUUAUCGAACCUAGUGAAAUUGGAAAGGCUUGUACUCCACUCCAACAACCUAACUGGCAAUAUACCACCAGGAUUAAGCACUUUACCCAACCUAUACCAGCUCAUAUUAGCCCGAAACCAAUUGUCAGGACAUAUUCCAUCUGAAUUUGGUCAGAUGAAAAACUUACAGUACCUUGAUAUAUCUAGGAACAGGUUGAGUGGAUCCAUCCCCAACGAGCUGGGGAGUUGCACUAAGCUACAAUCAUUGAUGCUUAGCCACAAUAACUUGAGUGGCGAGUUGCCAAUAACCAUUGGUAAUCUAGGGAACCUGCAGAUUGUGUUGGAUAUCAGUGACAACAAACUUAUAGGCAGGCUACCCGCACAGCUUGGGAACUUGGCGAUGUUGGAACUCCUGAAUCUCUCCCACAAUCAAUUUAAUGGGAACAUUCCAUCCUCCUUUGCCAGCAUGGUUAGCUUGACAACACUUGAUGUGUCAUACAACAACCUGGAAGGGCCUCUUCCAGCUGGACGACUAUUCCAUGAUGCUCCAAUAGCAUGGUUCCUCCACAAUACAGGUUUAUGUGGUAAUCUCAAAGGCCUGCCAACAUGCUCCUCAACUGCGAUAUUGGAAUAUCACAAAGGAAGAAUUCAAAUCAUAGUAUUAUCUAUUUCUGUUCCCAUGUGCAUAGUUAUUAUUCUCACAAUUUUUUGUGUCAUUAUGAUUACUCAAAAGAGGAAACAACCACAAAACGACAUAGCCAUAGAUAGAAGAGAUGUUCUUUCAGUGUGGAAUUUCGACGGUAAACUAGCAUUUGAGGAUAUCAUUCAUGCAACAGAAAAUUUCAGUGAUGGGUACAUUGUUGGAUCAGGGGCUUAUGGAACUGUCUACAAAGCUCACCUUCAAGGGGGGCAACUGGUUGCAGUGAAAAAGCUCCAUCCCAUUGAAGAAGAGAUGGGAGACGAAAAGAGAUUCCUCUGUGAAAUUGAAGUGCUGACAAAGAUCCGACAUCGGUGUAUCGUGAAGUUAUAUGAUUAUAUUGAUAGAGGGAACCUUCAUGAGACAUUGGAAAAUGAAGAGCUAGCAAAGGAGCUAGAUUGGAAAAAGCGGGCUGCCAUUGCAAGAGAUGUGGCUCAAGCUAUAUGCUACUUACACCACGAAUGCAACCCGCCAAUAAUCCAUCGUGACAUAACCAGCAACAACAUCUUGCUAGAUGCAGCAUUUAAGGCUUAUGUUUCAGAUUUUGGCACAGCAAGGAUUCUGAAACCUGAUUCAUCGAACUGGAGUGAGCUAGCAGGGACAUAUGGUUAUAUAGCCCCAGGUGUGUGUCAGAUUCUUUUCCUAUGUAUUCACUUUGUUUUCUUACCUGAUUCCGGAUCUCACCCUACUGCUUUCUUUUCUGUAGAGCUUUCAUACACAUCGGUGGUGACGACAAAAUGCGAUGUCUACAGCUUCGGUGUGGUCAUGCUGGAGAUUGUGAUGGGGAGAUAUCCAAGGGAACUGCAAUCACUUGCUUCUGUGGGACAGCAGCAUAAACAUGCAAUGGAUUUUCUGGACCAGCGCCCAUCAACACCAGCAAUGGUGGAGAACGAAGAAAUAGCUCUGCUGAUUGAAGUGGCACUUUCUUGCCUGCAAACUUCUCCUCAGUCAAGGCCAACAAUGAAGAGUGUCUAUCAGAAACUCAUUCACGAUCACCCUUCUAGUUCUUUUGCGAUACCUUUCGAUACACUAGAAGAAACAGCUGACCCAUGACGAAGUGGUCACUAGAGUAUAUUACUCAAUACUAGUAGUAUUGAGUAAUAAGGCCAGCGCGAUGGUGUGGCCAACAUGUUGUACCAAAGCAAGGAUCCUUUUACAGAGUAUGUUAUUAUUUUCCUUCUAUAAUAGUUUUGUGUGGCAAGAUUGAUCUUCUCUCUAAGAUAAAUGAUAUUUUUUACAUGUAAAAUGAUCUCUAAACAUGGACAAAAGGGAGGGCACUGUCAUAUGGGAGUUCAAUCCUUAAUACGCCUAAAGGAGCAUUCAACAUUAUAGUCUAAGAAUUAUCUGUAGUGCAAGGAUGUGCAGUAUUUGCUCUGCGUAUUCACUACUACAAAAAGGGUCAAUACAAAGAGAAUAUUGGAAAUGGUGGACCAAAACACAUCAGCUAUCACACUAACUCUGACGGUUCUUUCUUUGGCCGUAUGAUACAAGCCCUGAAAAAGAACGCUUUUCUUAAGCCACCGUCAGAAGUAAGAAUGAGUUUCCAAUGCUAGUUUCUUAAAAAAAAACUGCCACUGGAUGUGGAAUUAUUUCUAUUGGUGGUUCACUAAGGAACUGCCGGUGAAAAUCCUCCACCCUGAAUUAUAGGAACUCAAAUUUCCUUAUUUGGAACCUAUCACAGGAUGCUAUGGGAAAGCGAUCACCCCUAGCACCGGAGUUUUACACAACUGUUUUCACCAAGCACCAUAAAGUAUGGUGUUUGAGAAAUCUUAAUCCAUUGAUUCUUCGGCUUUGAAUUGUGGCAGUCCGGUUCAUCGCGGUUUGACACCGCAACCUCGCCAUCUCUCUCGUUGCACCUUCCGCCUCCGCCACACGCACAUGUUGCCUUGUCAUCACCCCUCCGGCCAUCCCACCACAAUGCGCUACCACCUCCAUAAGUCACCAUACGUGCCACCAAAAGCGCACCAUCCUUACGGCUGAAUCUGCUGAGGUUGUGCCAAAACCCUAGGUAAUGGUUUCGACCGCCAAUCCAAAUUACUAGCAAUCUUUGCUAGCUCCAAUCGUUGGCGUUCUGACCAUCCACUCAAGUGCCUAUCUCUUCGAUUCCUAGCUCAUGGCGGUGAGUCUUAUUCAAAUUUAUCUCAAAUUCAAUAUAACUCUUUCAAAUCUGAGGCAAAAUUCAUGCAAUUAGAUGCUUCUCUCUACAAUUAGGGUCCCAUUCAUGCAAUUGGACAGUGUGCUAAGUUAACUACAUCGAAUUUUGUGCAAUUCCCUAUUUAGUGCUCAAAUUCACUUUUAAUUUGGUGAAAUUCAUUCAAAUGUGCGCAAAGUUAAGGUUGUCCCAUUCUAUUUCAUCAUUAAAUACUUAAUAAUAUUUAGUUAUGGCUAAUAACAUGUAGUCAGAAUUAACUUUUUAGCUCGUUGAAAAUAACAAAAUUAUCAAUAAAUAUAUAUGAAUUCUCUGAGAUGAUCAAAGUCUUCUGUACAUUGAGCCGCUGCACCAACUUGCAAGGUCGUGCCAGCAUCAAUGUUCCAUCCAUGCAUCUUUCAUGCUUGUGUUGUGCUUGACCUGGCAUUAUUGAAAUCUUUGAGUCCAUCCAUGCCUUCUAUUGUUGAUAUGUCACAUCUAUGUACCGAAUAUAUCUAGAGUUCAUACCUUCACGUUAGGUGCACGUAGUGCAUCAAUACACUCUCCGGUCACAAGAAGAUUGCAUCUUUUUCGAUGCUAACAUAGUUUAUAACCCACAAUUUUGGCCGCUACUUUAUUACACUACAUUAAUUUGUAAAGCAUCACCAAGAAACAGUAUUGUGAAACUACAUUUCAAGAUAGCAUGCUUUUUAAAUAAAUUGUUAAUAUGUAAAAUACAAAAGGGAACAGCCAAAGAUUAAAGAUUUAGUUGCAUGAUUUCUCUAAACGGAAUGGAGAGGAAGUGUGAACAAAAUAUGUACCUCAAUCGGUAAAAUCAUAGAAAGGGACCGGAGUGCUUCAUACGUUGUGGGGGACAUUUUGGAUUCUAGUGAUAGUGGUGUCAAUCAAUUUUAUUGCUGAUAUAUAUAAACAGUGCCUAGACUUUGAAUUAUCCUUUAGUCAGUCAAUAGUCGCCGACACUACCAUCAUUCUCUUUGAAGUUUGAACUACAUAUUAGCUUUGCAUCACAAACACUCAUAGUAAAUUUUGAAUGAAAGAUGUGUAGAAGUGUUUCCACGCUAUAGUGGGAACAAGGGAAUAGGCAAGUAAUUAUUGGAGGCGACUCCUUUCCAGAGAAUCCUAGUAGUUGAUACUUCAGCACGAGGGGAAUUCAAGGCUCUCAACGUAUGAGCGGCCCUGCAGGGCAACCUAGGGUGAGCUUCCUACUCCCAUUAGGCCAUCCUUGAAGGACAACAUUUCAAAUCAUACUUUCUUCAAAACUAGAGCAAAAACAAACCGAUGGUAAAUAUGCGCAAAAAAACAUGGACUGAUGGACACGAAACAGGAAUGGUGCCAGUGCAACCGGUGCAAGGUGCAACAUGAUCAAUAAUAAUUACAAUUAUCAUGAUUUUGCUUUGCUGCAUCAUGUCGGCCACACACUGCUUGUUUGAAUUUAUUCAGUACUGAAGCACUAAAUGAAACACACUGAAAAGUUCUUUUUUUUCUGUCAGUUCUUGGAUUUUUGAGCUGAGGAAUAAAUCUGAAACCUAUUUAAGCGUGUCCAGUGCAGCUUGUGCCUUCGAGCUAAAUUUUAGGAAAUUGCUAAGAUCUGAAUAAUGAAGCGGGACCCCCUUCACAUGGGAAGUUUAUGCAUUCUCUCAAUUGUGUAAUUUCGAGGUUCAGAUUAACUGUUGCUGAUUAUACAAUUUUCCGCACCCCUACAAGCAAUUGGCAAUUGCUACUGCAUGCAGACUAGAACUAUAAGGCUAAAUCCAUCUAGAAUAAGAAGCGCUGUUAGAGAAACAAAGGAACUGAACAGUAGUUAGGGUUAGGAAAAGGUACAGUCACCGGGAGGAGGCCCAUCUGCCUUCGGGGGCCUAGCAGGCGGUGCGAGAGUCGGCGUCGCCGCCGCAGCCGAGUCGAACGGAGACGCAAUGAAUGCUGGGCUCAACGCCGGCUGCGGCGCUGCUUCCUAGGGCCCGCGUCGAGAACUGUUUCGGAGCCGGAGGAGGUAAAUCCGGACCGUGCAGCGAAUCCGGUAAGAUGGCGAGCAGCGUGCGCUGCCGGUGCCGGCGAUGGCGCGCCCGCAGAGGAGAUGGGUGGGGGCGUCGACGAGCGGUGGGGCGGAAUGGGCCCCCAUGAAAAGAAUUGGAGCCUUUCAUUUCUUUUCUCUCAGUGUUUGUUGUUCAGUGCACCUGAUGGGCCUGCCAGUCCAUCAGCCCAUGUCGUCUUCGGCUUCUUUUGGGCCAACAACUCCGAAGACCAUACUUCUUAUUUGCAAAAGGAGACAAUGUAAAAUAAUGGCUUUUCAAAAAAAAUAAAGGGGAGACAACUGAAUUAGAUUUGAAAAAAUGCAACUUACAUGCUUCUCAAACCUCCUGAUGGGUCAAGCGGCUCCAGACUAUUAAUGCUAGAGACAGCACAAGCAAACGACCCAGCAGCACUUCUUCCGUUAUUUCUUGACGACUUCGAUUGGGCUCACAUCUUCACUCUCCUCAAUUUAAAAAAGGGGAAAAAAAAAAGAUAAAACUGAGCCGCACGCACAUCGCCAACUGUCCCGACAUCGAGCCCACAACUAUACACAGCCCAAAACAACAAAACGGGGCCGCACAUCGACUAGGCCGCGUCCCAACAUCUGGCCCACAACUAUGAUAACAAGCCCGAAACAACAAUACAAGGCCGCACACCGAGUAUCGUUUGUCGCCUGAAGCCCCUCACGCGUGUAGCACACGACUAGCUAGCUUGUUUCGGCUACUUCGGCCUGUUAUCCGAUCUCAAACUCGGCCCAUUUGAUACGGAUCGGCCCACGUUCGUUUUUCCUUUUUUCCGCAGCUUGGCCCAUGCUCUUUUUCCUAUUUUUUCCGCGGCUCGGCCCAAGAUAUUUUUCCCUUUCCCACAGGUCCACAGCCAGAACAUGCAACAUGCAACACAGCCGGACUCUCAAACCGUAUGAAACACCUAAACGCCAAACACAUAAAUCCGGUUGCAUCAUUCACUAUAGUAGUACAUAAAGAAGGAUCACUUGUUAUGAAAUUCCGAUUACAAAAUACUGAAAAUGUAAGCAUAAGCUGUAGCAAACUGCAAACCACCACCCAGGUGUUCAAAUACUGAUGACAGUCACUGACCAACAACAGAGCUCCAAAAGUUUACAGCUCUUCCUCUAAUGUAACUAAUCCUUGGCACCUCAAAACUGUAGACUCUGCAAGCUUCACCGAGUUGCCUGCUGUGUUGCUUGAGCUGGCUCCACGAUGUUCUUUGCUAGCAUGUAGGUCCGCAUGUUAAGGCCCUUCAAGCUCUCGAUAAUCUGCUCAUGCCUGCAAAAACAUGCAUUCCACUGUAAACAUACUGGCUACAACAAAAGAUGUUAAACUAAAUCACAUUCUUCCCAAAUGUGCGAAGAAAACAUGUUAUGAAUCCACAAUCAACAACAUGGUGUGUUCAUGGACAGAGCAACUUACACAUUGACGUGAUUGGUCGUCAUGAUAAGGGUUCCUGACACUGAAUCGAUCCUUGCAUCCAGUUUUGAGCUCCUAACCAAGUUCAUUAUCCACAACUCUGCCUCAUCAUAGCUCAUGUUCAGCUUCUGCGAAAGCAUGCUGUCCAUUGCAAUAAUAUCAGAGGAACAUGUUAGGACAUUAACAACUAUGAUCCUAUAUGGUGCAUAUAAUAGAAUGCAAACCAACAGGUCUAAUCAUAAAACAAAUGCUUGUUCCCAAAUUGCACAAAACACAAUGUUAAUUACUAUUCCUUUGGACAUUACAUUUAUGGUGAACGGGGGACUUGAAAAUCUUCUAGCUAUAUACUACAGAAUAACCCAAUCGAAAAGUUGACACAGGAUCGGUAGAGUGACAAAACAAUUCCUAAACGAAAGCAUGCCAAGACUUUAUAAUCCAGUUCCCGCAAAAUUAAGAGACAUUUUCCAUGUCAUUGUAAUGAGUCGUCAGGGGAAAAAACCUACCUGAUAUCAAUGCACCGAUGAAUACGGCAGUAAGUCUCGAAAAUAAACAGACGAGCAUUUUCAAGGAACUCAUCUCUCAAAGGGACAGUGACGAAAUUUCCUUCUUCAAUGCGCUUUCCCAGGAAAGGAUCAUUCAAUAUAACCUGGAAAGGUACACAUUAGAACAUGAAGAAGGUACAUUAGAUAGUUUGAUAGCAAAUCAUAAAAUGAUCAUUGCUGAUUUUUGGGACAGCAAUGCAGACAAGCAGACUAUAAGCCCUUAAAAUCCUAACUCACAAGCCCUCAAAAUCCUAACUCAUUUAAAUACUUAUUCAAAUAGGACAUGUUACUAUACAGCUGAUGCUGACAUCCAUGGAACGUAUGAUAUACCUAAGAAUAACUAAAUUUGGGAUUCAGAAGGACAUAAUAUUUUACCAAUGCGAAAUACAAAAGACUUGAUGGGUGAGGACCACUUUACAAAAAGAUGUUUUGCGAAAAAAAAUGACUCAUUGUUUUUCAAGAUUUUUGAUAUUCCAAGGAGCACGUUCAAAAAAAAAUUGCCAUAAAGGUUGAGAAAAACAGCCUCGACGUUACCUGCUCGCACUCCAUGAGUUUCUGCUGAGCACCAUCAAAAUCAUAGUUGACAUAUAAGCAUUCCAGAAAUUCAGUUAUGGGAUCCUUGUAGCUAUGCUGCUCCUGCUGAAUGACUUUAAUCAGCUCUUUAAGCAUAUUCCUUCUCCUUUUGUUCACAACGACUGCAGUAGCUAGGUAUCUCAGGAGAUGGUGUGCAUUGGUCUGAAUAGCAUUCAAGUACCUGGGGGGGGGGGGGGGGGGGGGGGGGGGGGGGGGGGGGGGGGGGGGGGGGGGGGGGGGGGGGGGGGGGGGGGGGGGGGGGGGGGGGGGGGGGGGGGGGGGGGGGGGGGGGGGGGGGGGGGGGGGGGGGGGGGGGGGGGGGGGGGGGGGGGG